RNAcentral lists this long non-coding RNA (46299 nucleotides) under Lactuca sativa (garden lettuce). Its description in RNAcentral is "long non-coding RNA (LSAT_LNC000123)". Lineage: Eukaryota; Viridiplantae; Streptophyta; Magnoliopsida; Asterales; Asteraceae. The record is from RNAcentral.
AUAUAUGUAUGAGUAAACAGUCAGUCUUACCGUUAGUAGGCCUCAUUCACGAAGCUGGUCUAUAAGGGGUGUUUAAGGAAAUUGCCUAUAAAAUGGCGAUUGAAUGGGUAUCCACUCUUACCCACCGCACUCUUGACUAGUGGAGGGUCGUUAGCCGAACGGGUAGGAUAGGACAGAAACCUUCCAUUAUAAGUAUAAUGAAGUACAAAGUAACUAAAUGUUUUUUCAAAUUCCCAAAUCAUAGUUACUUUAGGCAAAAUGUGAAAUUGUAUGCUAACCCAUGGAAUUACACUUUGUACCCUUGUCAAACGUUAGUGGAGCGUGUGUGGUUAACCGGCACACUAAUUUGGGGAUGACAUUGGUAGCGAAGGGUGACUCGAUGUUUGUCAUAGAUCAAUGGAGCGUGUGUGGCUAACCGGCACAUUGAUUAGGUGAUAGUAGCAUUGAGUGCACCACGUGAUUCGUAUGGUUAUUCACACCUUGUUUGUGAUCCUCGGCAUCCCAGUCACAAAUAGUAAGGCAUAAUCGAGAUUAAACAUGCCAUUGAAAAGUUCAAUGAAUCUCAAAAGAUCUAGGAGUUUCAAUUCAUUUAAAACUUAAACUUCCUUUUCGUUUUUCAUGGUGGAAAUUGGUAAAUCGUCAUUUACCUACCUUCAAAUAUUCUGCAACUUGAUUACGACAUCCAUCUUCUAGGUUGUGGAGUAUUGUGUUGGAUCCUAGCCUUAAUAAUUCAUUUGGGUGUUUUAUUAAGGACUCAAUCAACUUAACUUGAAUUUUCUCCCGUUUUGUAGAUAUCAAACAACAAUGGUCUUCCCAAAUCCUUUAGAACAAGAUUUCCAAUUGAAGAUGACGUUCCGAGAUACGAUUAAGGAAAUGAGAGUCAUGUUUCACUUCCUCCACCUCCUCCAAUUAUUCUCCCUGACCCACAAGUUCGAAGGCUUGACAAGUUCAAGCUCACUCAAGCCCUUUUGGCAAGUAAACACGAAGAUGGGAAACCUGUGUGUGCACACAUCUUAGAGAUGAAGUCACACAUUGAUAGGUUAAGGAUGAUGGGUGUCGAUAUCUCAGAGAUGUUGGCUGUUAACUUGGUUCUUCAGUCGCUUCCUGAAUCAUAUAGUGAGUUCGUUAGAGAGUACUAUAUGAUGGAUCAUGAUGUGACCCUCAUUGAUCUCACCUAUUUGCUUAUAGUUCCUAAAUCAGUAAUGAUUUGGCAUGUUGGUCAAGCAAAUUUGUCUGGUGAAUCAAACUCCCAAACUUCAAUGGACACUGGCAACAUUGGAAGUCCAGAAAGGACUAAGUAUGAGAUUGUCCUAUGUGUUGUGCCAAAGGAUUCCAUUCGUUUUUAUUGCCAAGAGAAUGGGCAUUGGAGACGAAGCUGCCCAAACUACCUGAGAGGUCUAAGAGAUGGGAGAGUCAAGACGUAUGGCUCCACUUUAGGUAAAUUCCAAUAACUAACUCUACAAGUUCCUGUUCUUUGAUUUUCAAUACAUGAUGUGAUAAGAUUACAUUUUGAUAUUUUGUAGGAUCGGAGAAAAGAGAGGAAGCUUAAGGGAAGAAGUAAGCUGAAUCUGAUCGUGAAGAAAUGGAUUUCGAUCGCAUUGCUUGAAGAUCAGAUUUUUGAGCUACUACUUUAGAGUUAGAAUAGAUUGCUUAGAAAUUGAAAUAGCAUAGUUUUCAUUUGAAUUGCAUUGUAAGGACAAGUUUUUCCGCAAUAAAAUGAAUUUUAAUUUUGUCUUAUUUAUUUAUCCUUGCAAUGACAUAUGUGAAAAAUGGUUGUUUAUGUAUUUCUAAUUUUAGCAAUCUUGAAUUGGAUGUGAUUCUUGAUUAUGUUAUUUGUGAAAUGUCGAGAAUUUACCAAAUAGGGAGAGGUUCUCAUCGCCCAAGUUUCAAUUGGACAGAAAUUUGGAAUCAUGCAACAUGCAUUGCGUGAUGAAUGAGAAACUUCAUAUUUGGAAAUUAGACUAAAUCUUUGGCAAAGUGUCAAGUGAAGGACUAAGAGAUCGAGUACACUAGGUUGUAUGUUGAUCAAGUCCACCACAAGAGUGAUAAAGACAUUCGUCAUGAUUUACUAAAUUUUAGUAAAUAUGAUUAUAAUUAUAAGAUUAAGUGUAAUUCUGAGUUGGUUGAAAGAGUUUUAAUAGUAGAAUGAAUAAGGAAGAAUCAAGUAGGCAAAAAGAUAAAAGUUUCUCCAUUCUAAGAAGAAGGGAGAGUACCUUUUAUUGUGAUAAGUCUUAAUGAUUAAGAACCAUAUCUCAAUUGAUCCUCUAAGUGAGUCUUAGUGCAUUUGUAUGUCUAAGAAGAGGAAUCGGGAAUUGUGGAAAUGGUUAAAUCAAUAAGUCAAUCAUACUUCAUUCCAAUAUCGAAUCUUAGAGUCAUACUCCAAGAUUGUGAAUUGAGUGAAAAGUCUUUAGUAGGUUUAUAACACUUAACAAAUGUGGAAUUUGGAAAAGUUUUCUUAUUCUUGCACAUUUGAAAUUGGUAAGUUGUGCCGUCUUGGAUAAGAGAAAGACCAACUAGGACCAAUUAUGUAAAGUGUUUUGUGUUGAUAAGAACUACACUAACUCUUGAAUAUUUGUUUUGUCUUGGAAAGUUUCCUGACAANUAAUGAUCUUGAAAAAGUUUCAAGAACCAAGCAAGAUUAAACCUUAUCAAUCAUGACUAGCACACGACUUGAGGUUUACAACCUAUCGUGUUGACAUUAUUUUGUUUCUGUGCCAUUCCAAUUGAGUUAAUUAUGUGAGUUCUCAUUUGAAUGCAUAAAGACAAAGCGCCUUGGUCAAUGGAAAGUACAUUGAUAUGUAAGGAUAAGUUGCUAAACUACUUGGAAGACAUGGUGGGCACUCGUGUGAUCAUAAGGCAAGAAAUCAAAAUCAAGAAAGUUCAGUCCAUAUGAGUUUGGAUUUUUCGCAAACUUGGUUUUGGAAAAUUCACAUGGAUAGGAACUCAUACACCAUAAAAUCUAAGUGUCAUAAGAUUCCCUCCUUCAUGAAAAUGACUGUGAGGAAAUGCUUUCACUAAGAGAGAUUUUAAGAAGAUAGAAAUUGUGAAAAUUGUAUUCUCAAAUUCGAUUAUGGUUACGACAUCCCUUUCCAUAGUUCGAAUUGUGAGAUUUGGCAAUUAGUCUCACAUUUGGGACUUAUUGAUAUAAGUUCUGAAUUGUUUAAGACACACAUAUGAUCUAUCUAGGGCAAAGGUGUAUAAGUUUAAGAAGCUUAGAUAAAGGCUUAUCGAAGCAUCUGGUAUUAGAAAUAUGAAUUUCAAAAAUUCAAUAGGCAUUGUUUUCUGGAAGUUCAGCUAUUUUCUGAAUACGUGUCAAAGCUAGUGGGAGCAUAAGUGUUAUGCUUAUAUGAUAAUAAUCAGCAUGAUAGUGGGAGCAUAAGUGUUAUGCUUGUAUGAUUAUUAUGGAAAGUAUUGCAAGAUAGCAAUAUUAGUUAUAAAAAAACAAAGAUUCAAUUUGCCAAGUUGCAUGGGUUGAAAAGUUGUUUUGCUAUAAUUAAGGGAGAUAAUAUUAUACUUCGUUUCAAAAUAUAAAGCUUAGAUUGAGAAAUUUUAAUAAAUAUAGUCAAAUGAUACAUAGUGUGUUCUAAAAUUUCGAUUAUGAUUAUGGCAUCCCUCUUCAUAGUUCGAAUUGUGAGAACGUGACACAUAAAAUAUUAUGGCAGAAGAUUGAUAAAGUAUCAUAUCUUUAUGUAAGACAUUAUGCAUCGUGUCCCAUACGCUUCAGGAUAUAGGAUUGAUUACAAAUGCUAUAAUAUUUGACCAUUCUAAAAUUUUCCAAAUGUCUAGUGCAUUAAGAGGGAAAAAGGACUAGAAUCGGUUUUGACUAAAAAUAAUUAAACAACUAUCAAAGGACGAUCCAAAGUUCACUGAGGAUUGGUUGCUUGUGAGUAGUUGGAAGUAUGGUAUUGCAUGGACCAUAUCGACAUUAUUAUGAAUAGAUAAGAUUCUAUUAAGAAUGAGUUGUCAUAUGGCAAAUAUGGAAAUGCUUCCAUAUUGGGAGUUGAAUAUUGAGAGUCUAUAUCUAGAUUAGAAAAUUUUAUGCAAGAAGGAUGUUCAAAGGAAUGUACUUUGAAUGUGUGACUUCACGUCUAUGGAAUUGUCUUCUAACAAUUUCCGAUAGAGUACUUUGUAAUUUCAUUGGCCAAAUCUUGGUGACUUUUGUGCUAUGACUUUGUGAAAGGAUCGUUGCAUAAAAUGUUAGAAUCUAGCAUAUUCUAGUAGUGUCAAGAACCUUGUGUUCUAACACUAAUGAUAAGUAUUAGGAAUUGUGAAAUGAGCAUCACUGGAAAAGUUUUUCAAUUGAUCUACUUCACAAAGUAAGGACCAUAGGAAACAUAGUGUGCAUGCUUUGUGCAUGGGACAACUAUUGUUGUAAUUUGAGUAAUAAGUUGAUUUUCUGGAACAUUAAACGAUGAAUAAUAAGUAAUCAAUAUGGUGUUUAAAUAGAAGUGUUUUAUUUACUCUCACAAGUUUAGGGACAUAUAGGAUUAAGUAUUAUUGUUGUGUUUCAGUUUGCAUGUUUUGACUUCCAGAAUAAUUGGGUUAUUCGAACCUCCACAGUCGGUCAUACGUUGGAAGUAGGUAUGAAGCAAGACUGUCAUGAAAAGUCUGUAGAUUGUUUGAAGAGUUUAGACAUAGCACAAGUUUGCUGCAGAGUUCAUGAGUGCUUUGAUAAGAUUAGAGUAUUGGAUUAAACCCACGCUCACUUGGAUCACUUCAUGGAUUUAUCACAGAUGAUUAGUGAGACGAUAAUAUUGUAUAUUCUUGAGACCGAGACGUGUGAGUUGUUAUUUGCUGGUCGGUUGCACAUUGAUAAUAAGCAAACGCACCAGUAACUUGAUACUAUAAAACUUAUUGUUGUGUGUGAUUCGAUGAGUGAAUGCAAGCAAGCAUAUGAGUCGAAGUUUAUCCAUUCCUUUUAACCAAAGUUGGAUAAAAGCGAUAUAUGUGGGGCCCUCGAUGAUUUAGUGAUGACACCUAAGCGCUUGGCCAAGUCGGGACUAAGUUGGUGUGUUCAAUUGUAGUUUGUUGUCAUUCGUCAUAAAUCGGAAGUCGGGAAACAAUAUAGAGAGAAUGAUCGAAAUUCAUGCCUUGUGUCUAUACGAUAUCUUGAGAAUGGAGGAAUAUAUCAUCCCUUAUCUAAAGGACAUGCAUAUCUGAUAAGAUCAGAGUUGACAGCGGCUUUUGAAAGCUACGAUUGCUGAUCAGGUUCUGAAGUCAUACGGAAAAUAGUUAUUAGACUUAUCCAAGUGGGAGACUGUUGGAUUAGUGUCUAAGUCCAUAACUAUUUUGGUAUGUACUUGACCCGAUUAUGAGCAUGGUCCUUUUGGGUUGCCUUCACCAUAGCAAUAUGUAGGAUGAAUUAAGGAGAGAAAGGUUUAAUUAUGACUUGUUAAUAUAUUAUAAGAAUAAUAUAUUAAAUGAGAAACCGAAAUGUUUAAUUAAUAUUAGUCAAGAAUUAAUUUUGUGGCUAAAAGAGAUCAAUUAAACUUAAGGGACUUACUGUGCAAUUAUAAGAUAAUUACAUAGAUGAGCUUAUGGACUCCAUAGAAGGUGGAGUGGACGAAUUCUAUGGGGGGAAACCCAUUAGAAGUUGUCCAAGGCUUCUAAAGAAGGAGUCCAUGGCCUACUUAUGGCUUAAGUAGUCAAAUUAGGGUUUCCUUGUUAGAUAACCCUAAUUGCCUAAGUAUGUAAGGAGCACUUAGGCACCAAAAACGUGGCUAACACUUGGAUUAGGGUUUCCAGCCGUUUUUGGUGCCUCCCCUCUCUUCUCUUCUUCAUCUUGUUGCUUAGUGGUGUUUGUGACUCCAUUAGAGGUGCAACACUUGAGGCGCUAAGCUUUCUAAAGCCAAGGAUUAGAUUGUUAUUGCUAUAUAACAAUCAAAGAUUAGAUCCAGACCCUAUUUUAUGUUAAUAUGAUUAAUUGUAUGCUAGAUCUAGGGUUUAUAGCUUUGGAUAUUCAAUUGCAUGUUCAUUAGACAAACUAGAUCCAAAAGCUAUUAGGGUUUGCAUGUACACCAUAUGAAUGUUGUUUUGCUCAAAACCCAUCACUACUCUCAUCCUAGGCUUGCCCUAGGGUAAUCACCAUCCCACUCUCCGCCGUCAGCUGCAUAAGAAGUCCCUGUUGUCUCCCCCUAACUAGAUUGCGAAUACCAUUACAUAUCACUAAGACUAGAUAAUUCUUCGAAUGAGAGAUCCUACCCUAUAACGGUUGGACUCAAACAAGAGCUGCGAAAUAGAGCUAGACCUAACCUUCUGAAAAUAUUUAUUCCUCGCAAUAUGUAACUUAACAUAUUCUGUUACUAGUUAGUAAAAGACAACUAGAACUCCUAAAAGCACAAAGCAACCAACAUUCGAGCAUUGAGUAAACAUGAUCAAACAUAUACUAAUCAGGCCAUCAUAUUGACUAAUCUGUACUAGCAUGCAAUUCAUAAAGCUCAUACAUAUAUAACAGGCACAUAAGGCAUCCUUCUUAGAUCCUUAUUCCUAAUCUAGCAUACAGUUCUCAUAAACAUAUCAUAACACAACUUGUAUGGGUAAUUUAGGAGUACUUAUUUGAGCUCGGCUGAUUGCAUGCACCACACCCUUUUCUCUUUUAAAAAUUCUUUUCUCUUUUUCAAAAUUCUUUUUAUAAAAGUGAUUUUCCUUAGAAAAUUUUCAUACCAGUUCCUUAGUUUGAUUUCAGACACACCUGAGAGUGUAUCCGAAUCCCUCAAACCAAGGCUCUGAUACCAACUUGAAACAUCCCAAAAAUACGGUCCAAAAAUUUUGUUUUGAUUAUUUAUAAAAACCAUAAUUAUCAUUCGUCACCUCAUAAAAAGAACAUAAGUAAUGUAUCUCAAAGAAUCAUAAUAAAAUAUUGUAUCAAAAUCAUGUGUCAAAUAUCAGAGUCUAAACAUCCCAGGCUGAAUCAAUGGUGUGUGUACUACUGUUACGAUUCAAAUUUUUCAAACAAAUUUUUCCAUUUUAAAACAUAAUUGUUUCCAUUAAAAACAAGGCAUAACUAGUUAAUUAUUCAAUCAAUACAAUUAUUCAAAUCCCAAGAUCAUAAAAACCAUCUUCAGUGUGUAUCGAUCAUGCCGGCGCCUUCCCACGGUCCUCGCUAGUACCUGAAAUACAUGCACAACAACUGUAAGCAUAAAUGCUUAGUGAGUUCCCCAAUAUACACUUACACACAUACGCCUUUCCACGCCCUGACCUUCCGGUCCUCUUUACAACGCCUUCCGGCCCAUAACAUAAUCGCCUCCGGCCCACAUAUCAUACAUAGCAUACAUAACAAUUAACUUACCACAUAUAGCAUACAUAUCACAUAACAUAUUCGACCUUCCGGUCACACAGUCAAACCCUUCCGGGUACAGUAUAGUGAGAAGACUCACCUCGUAUAUGCUGAAAGCUAGCAACUCCUGAAAUGACUCGUGCACAACCGACGAGCUACAACCUCCCUAUAACAUUACAUGACUCAUUAAUACUUAUCUCUUCUAAGUGUGACUAUCCCUAAGAAGUCAGACUUAGGUCAACUCUGGUCAACGGUCAACGGUCAGCUCGACCGGACUCGGCGAGUCCCAUGGCGACUCGGCGAGUCUAGUCGUCCUCACAAAUUCCUGAAUAUUCCCUUUCUACUCGUCGAGUAUUCCUCUUGACUCGACGAGGUCCUCGUGGAAGAAUCGCGGGGCCACCCCGACUCCACUCGCCGAGUCUGAUGAACAACUCGGCGAGUCCCAGUAAAUCUUCAAGCUACUCGCCGAGUCUGAAGAACAACUCGGCGAGUCCAUGCCAUGCAGACGAGUAACUGCUUCCUGAAUUACGUAUGGUCCCAAGAUAUACAACCAUGGGACCCUCUGGACGUCUAAACAUCUCAUUACUGGGGUAAAAACGUUUGGGUAACAACAUCAUAACCCAUCUAAUCACUAAAUGGGUUUCAUAAACCCUAAACUUACAUACACAUCAAAAUAACAGAAUUGGUCCGAGUAUUACCUGAAAACGCACUCUCUGUGUCCCCCAAAUCUCAGGUCUCAAUCCUCCUUGAUAUUCUUUUAGCCAAAUCCCUCUUCUUCUUGCCUAACCAAUUCUUCCAAGUUCCAAAAGCUUUCUCUCCUGCUCCAGACGUCCACAGCGAUUAGGGUUCUUCUCAAUCGACCAAAAGACUGAAAAUGACGGCCUAAGAGGCUUUAAAUACGAUCCAAACUGAACGGUUAGGGUUUCUGCUGAACAGCGUCGACUCGCCGAGUCCAUAUCUGGACUCGUCGAGUCCAGUCGCGGACCCGCGACCAAGUCUGCGAUCCUACUCGGCGAGUCUAGGCUCCGACUCGCCGAGUCCCCUCUUAAAUCACCCCAAAAACAUAAUUUUAAUAAUACCUGAGAUUCCGGGCUGUUACAACUCUCCCCCACUUGGAUUAGACUUCGCCCUCGAAGUCUCACUCUGCAAAUAGUUCCGGAUGCUGCUCCCGCAUUUCGCGCUCCGGUUCCCAAGUCAUUUCUGAUCCCUUACGGUGUUGCCAUUGAACCAACACCAGAGGUACUUCCUUGUUCCUCAGAACCUUGAUCUUCCGAUCCCUGAUAGCCACUGGUCUCUCCGCGUAAUUCAGGCUCGCAUCCACCUGAAUAUCCUCCAAUGGAACCACUGCCGACUCAUCGGCUAUGCACUUCCUCAACUGCGACACAUGAAAAGUGUCAUGGAUCUGACCCAACUCCGCUGGCAACUCCAACCGAUAGGCUACCCGACCUAUCCUUGCAAUCACACGAAAUGGCCCAAUAUACCGGGGCCCCAACUUGCCUCUCUUCCUGAACCGAAUCACUCCUUUCCAAGGAGAGACCUUCAGGAGAACGAAGUCGCCGACUUGAAAUUCAAGCUCGGAUCGGCGCCUGUCUGCAUAACUCUUCUGUCGGCUCUGGGCAGUCAAUAAUCUUUGUCUCACUUGUUGAAUCUGCUCUGUCGUCUGGAGUAUGAUCUCCGUGCUGCCCAUCACUCUCUGUCCCACCUCUCCCCAGCAAAUGGGAGUCCGACACCUCCUACCAUACAACAGCUCGAAAGGCGGCAUACCAAUGCUCGAAUGAUGGCUGUUGUUGUAGGAAAACUCUGCCAAUGGUAAAUACGCAUCCCAACUACCCCCGAAGUCUAACACACACGCUCGGAGCAUGUCCUCCAGUGUCUGAAUUGUCCGCUCGCUCUGACCGUCUGUCUGGGGAUGGUAUGCGGUACUAAAAUGCAAUUUAGUACCCAGCUCCUCAUGGAAUUUCUUCCAGAAUCUGGAAGUAAAGCGCACAUCACGGUCUGACACAAUCGAGAUCGGCACCCCGUGCCGAGACACCACCUCUCUCACGUAUAUCUCCGCCAAUUUCUCCGCCGAAGAACUCUCACUGAUGGCAAGGAAGUGUGCACUCUUUGUCAACCUAUCCACGAUCACCCAAAUUGCGUCAACUCCCCUAGCAGUCCUCGGCAAUUUGGUGAUAAAAUCCAUAGUAAUCUGUUCCCACUUCCACUCGGGGAUCUCCAAUGGCUGUAACUUGCCAUGCGGUCUCUGGUGCUCAGCCUUAACCCUACGGCAGGUCAAGCACCUCUCAACGAACCAUGCCACGUCCCUCUUCAUACAGGGCCACCAAUAUUCCUUCCUUAAAUCCAAAUACAUCUUUGUAGCACCGGGAUGGAUCGAGAAUUUCGAUUUAUGAGCCUCUUCCAUCAACGUAAUACGCGUACCGCCCACGAACGGCACCCAAAUCCGACCCUGAAACGUCAUAAGGCCUCGACUAUCCUUGACAAACUCUGAGAUUAACCCCACAACCCGCUCUUUCUUCUGCAUUUCUGGUCGCACAGCCUCCGCCUGGGCCCCACGAAUAGCGUCCAAUACUGGAGUCAUCACAGUCAGUCUCAAGCAUACGUCUCGCAAUGGAGUGCUCUCCGCCCUGCGGCUCAAUGCAUCGGCUACCACAUUAGCCUUGCCUGGGUGGUACAGGAUCUCACAAUCAUAAUCCUUGACCACAUCCAACCACCUCCUCUGACGCAUAUUUAGGUUGGGUUGAUCCAUCAAAUACUUCAAACUCUUAUGGUCCGUGUAUAUCGUACAUCGAACCCCAUACAAGUAGUGACGCCAAAUCUUGAGAGCGAACACUACUGCCCCCAACUCUAAAUCAUGCGUGGGAUAUCUCGCCUCAUGAGGCUUCAGCUGCCUCGACGCAUAAGCUAUCACAUGACCCCUCUGCAUUAACACUGCACCCAAUCCCGAAAUCGAUGCGUCGCAAUAUACCACGAAAUCUUCCAUCCCUUCUGGAAGAGCUAAUACCGGGGCUUCGCACAAUCUCUGGCGAAGUGUCUCAAAGGAGGUCUGCUGCUCGGGCCCCCAUGAGAAUGUAACACCCUUCCGGGUCAAUCUGGUGAGUGGCACUGCGAUCUUGGAGAAAUCCUUGAUAAAUCUCCGAUAAUACCCUGCCAACCCAAGGAAACUUCUGAUCUCAGAGGGUGACUUCGGCACCUCCCAACUCAUCACCGCCUCAACCUUGGCCGGAUCGACCAAUAUCCCUUUCUGAUUAACCACAUGUCCUAGAAACUGGACCUCCCGCAACCAGAAGUCACAUUUGGAGAACUUUGCAUAAAGCUUCUCCGACCUCAAUACCUCAAGGACCUCCCUCAAAUGCUCCUCAUGCUGCUCUCUAGAUCUCGAAUACACCAGAAUGUCGUCGAUAAAUACAAUCACUGACCGAUCCAACAUCGGCCUGCAUACCCUGUUCAUGAGAUCCAUGAACACAGCCGGGGCAUUGGUGAGUCCAAAAGGCAUCACCACAAACUCAUAAUGCCCAUAUCGCGUCCUAAACGCUGUCUUCUGGACGUCCUCAUCCCGUACUCUCACCUGAUGGUAUCCUGACCUCAGAUCGAUCUUGGAAAACCAAGAUGCUCCCUGCAACUGAUCGAAUAAAUCAUCGAUCCUCGGCAACGGGUAACGGUUCUUGACCGUUAGCUUGUUCAACUCCCGGUAAUCAAUGCACAUCCGGUGUGAACCAUCCUUCUUCUUGACGAACAGAAUAGGUGCUCCCCAUGGCGAGCUGCUCGGCCGAAUGAAUCCCUUUCCCAGCAACUCCUGGAGUUGCGAGGACAACUCUUGCAUCUCUGGAGGUGCAAGACGAUAGGGCACUUUAGCAAUAGGCGCUGCCCCCGGAACCAGAUCGAUACUAAACUCUACUUGCCUCACAGGCGGUACUCCCGGCAACUCCUCGGGAAAGACAUCUGAAAACUCGCGCACCACCGGAACUUCCUCAACUGACUUCGGUUUCUCAGAAACCUCCCGCGUAUCCAUCACAUACGCCACGAAACCCUUACAGCCCUGCCGUAGACACUGCCUCGCCCUAGCGGCCGAACAAAAAGCUGAUCCCGAACGGGUACCCUCGCCGUAUACCGAAAGAACUCCCCCUCUUGGGUCUCGUAUAGUCACCAACUGACGCUCACAGUCGAUGACAGCGCCGAACCGGCUCAACCAGUCCAUGCCCACGAUGACACAGACAUCCCCCAUCGCGAUAGGAAUCAGAUCAAUCGGGAAUCCAACCCCGAAAAUCUCUAGUACACAUCCCCGAAGAACCUCCGUAGCACAAAUCACCUUCUCGUCAGCUAUAGAGACUCUCAAAGGUCGACUCAACGACUCACGACUAACGCCAAUAUGCUGACUAAAGGCCAAGGACACAAAGGACCUACUCGCACCCGAGUCAAAUAACACUAAGGCAGGCACAGAGUUCACAAGGAAAGUACCUACGCGCAUAAUAACAUAAGCAUAACAUAUCGACAUUAAAAUAAUUACAUGAAUUACAACAUACCUGCCACAACAUCGGGCGCAGCGCGGACCUCUUCCGCUGUCAGCUGAAAGGCUCUUCCCCGAGCCCUCGGGGCCUCGGCCUUCACCGGUCGAGUCGCAGGAACUCCGGCAGCAGGUGCAGAUCCCUGAAGAAGCUGAGGGCACUCGGCCUUCCUAUGGCCAGUCUGGUUGCAAUGAAAGCAAACCGAAAAUCCCUUGGGGCACUCCCUAGCAAUGUGCCCCUCCUUGCCACACUUGUAGCAAGCACCAGAUCGACAUACUCCAUCAUGACUCUUGCCGCACUUCCCGCAAGUGCGACCCUUCGAACCUCCUGUCCUCGAAUCAGCGGACUUGGUCCGCUUGGCUGCCGGCUGGAACUGAGCCGGUCGCCGAUCCACCCGCUGAGACUCGGCCUCCUCCCUAGCCUGGGUCUCCAACUCGAUCUCGCGCUUCCUGGCAUUCGCCUGAAGCUCAGCAAAAGUAUGGUAAGUGGAGUUUGACACAAACUCCCGAAUAUCCCUCCUCAAGACACCCAAGUAUCGGCUCAUCCGAGCCUGCUCUGAGGACACCAGCUCAGGGCAAAACAUCGCCCUCUCAUGAAACUUCCGUGUAAUCACCGCAACAGAAUCGGUACCCUGCUUGAGGGUUAAGAACUCCUGCACCAAUCGUUCCCUCUCCACCGGGGGAACGUACUCAUCCCUGAACAUGGCAGUAAACCCCUCCCAUGUCACCGCUGUAGUCUCUGCCAAAGUGAAAUUCGCUGUCACGAACUUCCACCAGUCCUUCGCUCCCAGACGGAGCUGGUUCAAAGCGAACCGUACCCUCAGGUGCUCCGGGCAUGAACAAGUAUAGAAGCACCCCUCUAUAUCUGCGAUCCACCUCAUCGCAGCAAUCGGAUCCUGCGUCCCAUCGAACUCUGGUGGCUUCGUGUUGCUGAACUCUCGGAACAGCAAUGAAUCACCCCCCUGUGGCCUAGCAGCGGCCACAGCUGCGGUAGCUGCAGCGGUUGCAGCCUCAGUCAAUGCGGCGUACCGCUCGUCGAACGUCUCCAUCAGGGUGGUCUUGAUAGACCCAAACAUCUCCGGGAUCUCAGCCCGGAUCGCCGCCGCCACCUCCUCGUGGAUCAUCUGACGAAUAUCCUCGUCACUCACACCGCUCGUACUUGCCCCGUGCCGCGGUCUAACCAUGAUAUCUCUGAAAUACAACAUAAAACUAUCAGAGAUUCUACCGAGUAUAAUCGUACUCGACACGCAACCCUACUCAGUCCCAGAUAUCCAGGGAUUCUUACUUGGGCCUCCCACUGACCCGGUGUCCUCGGUAGUACGGGCCCAAUACUACCGACCACACCGCAUCAAUGUUCAUCCCAAGUCCUCCUCCCCAAACUCCAGAUAGUGAGUACUCUACUUCUGAUACGCUCUAUCUACCCGCAUACUAGCAAAGCAUCUCAUAUAAGCAACUUCCCUAGACUAAGGCAUCACAAAUCAGGCCACUCUAGUCCUAUCAUGAAUACCUAGUCUUCUAGCAUGCAUAACAAUUCAUAUCAUAUAAUAUUGUAAGGUAUUUUGGGGAUCUUUACCGUUCGGGCGCUGACUGAUCGUACACACUGCUUCUUUCUUGCUUACCACAAAACCAUUUACAAAAGUUUAUGCCUUUAUUUGAAAAGUUUCCUCAAAUCCUCGGUUUGAGUUCAGUUACCCCCGAAGGUGCACCCGAAUCCCUCAAACCAAGGCUCUGAUACCAAUUGUAACAACUCAAAUUUUUCAAACAAAUUUUUCAUUUUUAAAACAUAAUUAUUUCCAUUAAAAACAAGGCAUAAACAGUUUAAUUAUUCGGUCAAUACAAUUAUUCAAACUCCCAAGAUCAUAAAACAAUCUUCAGUGUGUAUCGAUCAUGCCGGCGCCUUCCCACGGUCCUCGCUAGUACCUGAAAUACAUGCACAACAACUGUAAGCAUAAAUGCUUAGUGAGUUCCCCAAUAUACACUUACGCACAUACGCCUUUCCAGGCCCUGACCUUCCGGUCCUCAUUACAACGCCUUCCGGCCCAUAACAUAAUCGCCUUCCGGCCCAUAACAUAUUGCCUUCCGGCCCACAUAUCAUACAUAGCACAUAUAACACUUAACUUACCACAUAUAGCAUACAUAUCACAUAACAUAUCCGACCUUCCGGUCACACAGUCAAACCCUUCCGGGUACAGUAUAGUGAGAAGACUCACCUCGUAUAUGCUGAAAGCUAGCAACUCCUGAAAUGACUCGUGCACAACCGACGAGCUACAACCUCCCUAUAACAUUACAUAACUCAUUAAUACUUAUCUCUUCUAAGUGUGACUAUCCCUAAGAAGUCAGACUUAGGUCAACUCUGGUCAACGGUCAACGGUCAACUCGACCGGACUCGGCGAGUACCAUGGCGACUCGGCGAGUCUAGUCGUCUUCCAACUUUCUGAGAUUCCUUAUCUACUCGUCGAGUACCCUCCUCGACCCGACGAGUUACUCCUGGAAGAAUCGCGGGGCCACCCCGACUCCACUCGCCGAGUCUGAAGAACAACUCGGCGAGUCCCAGUAAAUCUUCAAGCUACUCGCCGAGUCUGAAGAACAACUCGGCGAGUCCAUGCCAUGCAGACGAGUAACUGCUUCCUGAAUUACGUAUGGUCCAACAAUAUACAACCAUGGGACCCUCUGGACGUCUAAGCAUCUCAUUACUGGGGUAAAAACGUUUGGGUAACAACAUCAUAACCCAUCAAAUCACUAAAUGGGUUUCAUAAACCCUAAACUUACAUACACAUCAAAAUAACAGAAUUGGUCCGAGUAUUACCUGAAAACGCACUCUCUGUGUCCCCCAAAUCUCAGGUCUCAAUUCUCCUUGAUAUUCUUUUAGCCAAAUCCCUCUUCUUCUUGCCUAACCAAUUCUUCCAAGUUCCAAAAGCUUUCUCUCCUGCUCCAGACGUCCACAGCGAUUAGGGUUCUUCUCAAUCGACCAAAAGACUGAAAAUGACGGCCUAAGAGGCUUUAAAUACGAUCCAAACUGAACGGUUAGGGGUUCUGCUGAACAGCGUCGACUCGCCGAGUCCAUAUCUGGACUCGUCGAGUCCAGUCGCGGACCCGCGACCAAGUCUGCGAUCCUACUCGGCGAGUCUAGGCUCCAACUCGCCGAGUCCCCUCUUAAAUCACCCCAAAAACAUAGUUUUAAUAAUACCUGAGAUUCCGGGCUGUUACAACUACAAUCAUCCCGAGCUCUUCCCCUUGCUACUGAAAGUACCUGAAUCCAAAACUGAAAAUUGUAAGCACGAAGCUUAGCGAGUCUCCCCAAAUGACCACAUAUCAUACACGCAUAACAUGCAACUAGGAGAUACGGGCCUCGCCCACACUCAUGGAGGUACGGGCCCCGCCCACACUCCGCUGGCUAUGAGAUACGGGCUCCGCCCAUACUAAGCUACUAUGAGAUACGGGCCCCGCCCACACUCAUUUACUAUGAGAUACAUGCCCCGCCGAUGCUCAAUUACUGAUCAUACAUACAAGCAUCAUACAGACAACAAGUAUAACUAAAUCUAUCAAUCAGUCAAAUAUCCAUACUCAACUAUACUAUGAGAUAUGAGCCCCGCCCACACUCAGCUACUAAUCAUAAAUAUACGGGCUGCCUUGGUGCCUUAGACCCGUUCUACUGGAGGAAAACUCACCUCGUAAAGUUGACUGCAUAUUCUUGAGUGAGGAAUCUCUAACGGCUGCUCCCAUGACUCCCCGACUAUUAUUAUCACAAUAACACUUAGUCAAAACCUGAUAAUUCUCCUUAGGAUAAAAUGACCAUUUUACCCAUGAUCAAAGUCAACGCUUUGGUCAAAGUCAACCUCCUGGUUGACCCAACUCGUCGAGUUGCUCCAUCAACUUGUCGAGUCCUAAAGCCUGAAAUCGCGAUCUAACUCGUCGAGUUCCCAGGCUACUCACAGUCGCGUUCUACCGAAUCAACUCGUCGAGUCCUUUCACGACUCGUUGAGUUCUACCUUUAGCUAAAACGAGACAAUCCAACUCAACUCAUCGAGUCCCUCUAUGGACUCGCCGAGUUCCUCUAUCUGAUUGAGCCAUCUCAAUGGAUUAAGCUCCUACCCUUCAGAUCCAAACUCCAUACUUCAUCUACACAUUGGUAUUACACUUUUAAGGGUAAAGUUUCCAACUUUACCCGUUGUUAGCCCUUCCUAAUGGGUUUAGCUCAAACCCUAACUCUCUAGAACAUAGAUCUUGGUCCACAAGCCAUAAUACUCUAAAUCAAAGCACAUUAUAAUAGAUCUAGGCCUUGGACAUCAAUUGGACACAUAAAGUUCCUAGCUUUCCUUCCAUGCAUGGCCUUUUAGGGCUAAAAAGGCCAUAAUAAUGUUUCUAAGCUUGCAUGUGGCUUCCAUGGCCAUAAAGUUUGCACCUUAAUGCCAUGGAACCCCUUCUAGAUCUGAGAUUUGGAAUGUAAGUUACUUGGGACGUCCAAAUCCCAAAGACCAAGGUUCUUGAACCAAAAUCCUCAUAAAAUGGAAGUAAAUAGAUCUAAUGAAUGAAUGGUCAAGUUAGAUACUUGAUUACCAGAAAGUGAUGAGGAUGGAAGGAAAUCCAUGGAUCUACAAUCUUCUCCUUGAACCUUCUAGCUCCUUCUUCUUCUUCUAGCUUCAAGAACACACAAAGUCACUCAAGAAUGGCUCACACACUCACAAAAUGCUCUAGGGUUUCAUGGAUUAGGGUUUAGGACUUGGAGGCUGGACAUGAGGCCAAAAGGUGGGGAUUAAGAUGCUUAAAUAAGGUGCAAAACCCCGAAAUUAGGUUUUCACUUUGGCAGACCUACUCAUCGAGUCGAGGGCUCUCGACUCGUCUAGUAGAUAGUUGAAGACCCGCAUCCAAGACUAGAUUCUACUCGACGAGUCUGGGGCUUCCAAGUCAUCGAGUAGCUCUUUAUAAAUGAAUAAUUUUAUAAAUAAAUGCGUACCAGAAAACGGGCGUUAGAAAAAUGCUUUGAGGGUGUGAGAUGAAGGGAAGUAAAUUAACUUUAUCGGUUUUUGGGCCUGUUUGGCAAAAAAUAACUAGUAACAGGUAGCUUGUAGCUGAUAGCGUUUUGUUAAAGGCUACAUGGAGUAGCAUUUGGAUUUGAAGCGUUUUGUUUAAACUAAACGCUAAAAGCUUAUAGUGUUAAACGACACUUUUUGUUCAAAAGGGAGCGUUUUGUCAAAUGCUAGAAUCUAGAUCUAUACCGAACACGCCCUUUAUUAAUGGUAUGUAUGUGAAAAUAAUCGAUAAAUGAAUGUUAUGUCUCUAAAUGUGUGCGUGUAAGGUAACAAUUUGAAGAGGUGUUUUAUUUUGUAACUUUGUUAAAAGCAGUGGAACAGUUUCUUUUUUUUUUUUUUUUUUUUUUUUUUUUUUUUUCAUUUUUUGUUUUUUUUUUUAAUUUUGUAAAAAGGGGGGAAUUUUUUUUUUUUUUUUUUUUUUUUUUUUUUUUUUUUUGCAAUUCAUGAGUCUUGUAUUACACGUUUGGAUCUGGUUAAAAUAAAAGGUAUAUAUGGGUUUACUACCAAUUUGAUUAUGCAUGUAGUAGUGCUAGAGGGAAGUCAUACCACAUUAUUUUUGUUUUGGAUUCAUCACUCUUUGUCCAAUCUAAUAUUAUAUGUAGUGAACAAUAUUUAAUUGUGGAAGUGAAAUGCAUUUUUCCUAAAUGCAAAUGUUUUAUCAUUAGUGUGUGCGCUCCUCGAGAUGAAAAUAAUAAGAUGUUGCGGAUGCAAUAAAGGCUUAAUUGUAGAAGGGAAAUGCAUUUUUUCUAAAUUCAAAUGUUUUAUUAUCAAUUUGUAUGUUCUUCAAGAUGAGAAAAAUAAGAAGAUGUUGUGGAGGGAUAUACUUUCUUUCUGCAAUGAAGGCAAGGAAGUUACAAUUUGCUUGGAGGCUUCAACUCAGUCAUGAUACUUUAGAGAGAUUUGAUACAACAUUUUAUCCAAGUUGUUUAUGUUUAGGCUUUAGCUGGAUGGUUUUCAUGAAGUGGUGGUACAGUAAGAUCAGGAUGCUGAGUUGGACUUGGGCAGACAACCAUUAAACUAGAAACGUGAAUGCCUAAUCUUUGAUUUAGACUAAAAAUAAUAUAAAAAUUAUUAAACCCGCAAUUGUUGAAAAUUUCAUAUUGUAAUUGCUUUGUUCUCAUUAAAAACUUACAAUAUUGAUCAAUGUUUUUACUAACAGUUUUAUUCCCUAUAUACACCUAGUGCAAUGUAGUUUGUGUAACUAUAUAACGCACACAAAUUAUCUAUAAAACAAUUCUUAAAAUGUUUUUAAUAGAUGUGGCAAAACCUAACAACACACUGACCUGACACAAAAUAAAUAAGUUUGAUUAAUAUAUUUGAACCGAUUUAAUUAAUCAGUUUAUAUGACAUGACAAAAUAAUUUUAAAAAAAUAAGGGUGUGGCUUGAGAAUUUCAAUUUGAAAAUUAUAUAUUUAUUUAUAUGUAAGUUUUUUAAAUUCUUAAAAUAAAUUAGAAACAUUCAAACCAAAACCAUACAUAAAAAUAAAGACUUCAUUUUCACUUUUUUUUUGUUAUCUUCCAAACUACUAUGUCCCCAUGACUAGGUCUGACAAUCGUGUCGUGUUCGGGGUGACGUGUUGCGGGUUGGCGGAUUGACGAGUCAAAAUAUGUCAACCCAAACACGAUCCAUUUAAAUAUACAGGUCACAGGUUGACAUGUUUGGAACAUAAACCCAUAUAUGACCCGCCAACCCAUUUAUUUAUAUGGGUUUACAGGUUGGCGGGUUUGUGUGUCUGAAUUUUAGACAUUUAAGUCAUAAACAUCCAAAUGAAAAUUAAAAGCAUUCAUAGAAACAUGUUACAGACUUAGCCUUAUAGGUCACGACUUCCGACCUUAGACCAUCCAUCACGAGUCAAAAUAUCAAAACAGUCAAAUUGUCUAUGAAUCAAUGGUAUAUAUUAUAUAAUACUUAUUAAAUAUUAAUACUUGAUAAUACAUUUAAAAAUAAAAUAAUUUUUUUAUUAAGAAUAUAAACGGGUUGCCGGGUCAACCCGUUUAUUUUUUGAGAAACCCAUAUAUGACCCGUUUAAUAAACGGGUUGGCGGGUUAGCGGGUUGAAAAACCCAACCCAAACUCAUUUAUUUCGUGUCGUGUCGCGGGUCGUGUCGAGAAUUGCCAGCCCUACCCAUGACCACUCCGUCCUUCAUAUGAGAUAUCCCGCCCUCCGCCUCCGAGCUCAUAUUUUUUACAUUUUUCCCUCUAAAUUGACAUUCAAUUUUGUCGCUCCGCCUUCCUAAGUCAUACUCUUUCAACUUGUUUAGUGUUUCAAACAUGGCAUGACACAUUCAAGGUAUUCACCUAAUCCGAAACUCAAAUACGAACUCAACACAAAAAUAAAUUGGUGGACACGAUCACACAACACAUUAAUUAAACAGAUCGGAUUAAGAUCAAAUUGUCUCAACCCAUUUACUAUUUUGACAGGACAUGACACAUUUGAGAGACCUCGUUUUUAAAUGAGAACCAAUAUUAAAAGACUCAAAAAACAAUCUUUUUUACCAAAAGUUAAUUAAGUCCAUUUUGCUUACUUUGAUUAAUAUUCAUUCAAGCAAUCAUCCAACCACACAUCCACAAGAUACCCUUCUUUUCUGGUUCGUGAAACAGCUUUAGGGCACCAUGCCUUUGUCUCUGUGUCUCUGUGUGUUCUCUUUUCUUCUCCUCUUUCACUUUCACUGCCACUCUUUAAAACGUGCAUCAAAAGCUCACUUUUACACUUGCAUGCGGGNNNNNNUAUAUAUAUAUAUAUAUAUAUAUAUAUAGAGAGAGAGAGAGAGAGAGAGAGAUAGAGAUAGAUGACCAUAUAAAUACUUAUGACAUGACACACUCAUAUAUAUAAGUAUAAGGGCACAUACCAUAAGCAGUUAACUUGUAGACAAGUAGCGGUAGCACACCCUUCAGUCCAAAUGUGUUUAUUAGAAGAUGAUAAGAAGUCAGUUGAGGGUAUGUUUGUUUACGCUUGUGGGACAACAGCAGGUGAAUGCUAUGAUCGGUGUUAUGAUUCCGGCAAUGAACCUUGAGAAGCGUAUAUAUGUGAUGAUAGUAUGAAGUCGGGUAUGUUUUAUCAUGCAUCCGAGAAGGGGAAUCAAGCGCUACUGGUCCGAUUACUGUCUACUUAUUUAUUUUGUUGUUGUUAUUAUUAUUAUUAUUAUUAUUAUUAUUAUUAUUAUUAUUAUUAUUAUUAUUAUAUAUCUAGUUUUAGAGGUUCUAUAUAUAAUUAAUUCUUUUGAUCGGUUUAAAGUUUGCUUGGCAAUUUUAAUGUAUGGCUCAUUAAAAGGUAGUGUGAGGUUUAAGCAUGUUCGAGAUUGUAAUUUGUAUCAUGUAAUCUGUUUUUUUGGUUAAUUGAUGUAAUAAUCUUGUUUAAUCCAAAUAAAAAUAUUUGUUCAUACUUAUUUUUGUUUCUUCUAUUUCCACUUCUACCCCUUUUCUCGAUUAUGAUGCUUUUUUUAGAAGAUGGCGUGACAGAUUUACAAGAUCCAAAUAAUUGAAAUGCGAUUUUGGCGACUUUUGAACAACUCGACUGGUUUGAAUUUCAAGUUUAAGCAACUAAAAUUUACCAAUUUGAGCGGUUUCAAAUGAAAAUAUAAUCGGUUAAUUUAAUUGUUCUAAGUUGCCAUGUUAUGGUUUUGGCUUUUAACCUUAGUGUGUCAAUGACAUACAAAACUAACUUGUUGGAAAAAUUAUAGUUGAUAUGUGAAUAUAUGAAUAAAUUAUUACGGAUGUGUUCAGUAUAACUAGAUGGUAACCGGUAGUAUUUUGUUAAACGCUACGAUGAGGUAGCUUUUGUAUUCAAAGUGUUUUGUUUAAACUAAACAAUACAAGUUUAUAGUGACAAAUAAGACUUUCUGUUCAAAACAGAACAUUUUGUCAAACGCUAGAAACUAUAAACUCCCAAACACUCCUAAACGAUUCAUGCCGAACACGACCUAUAUUUUGUUUGGGUUAAAAAUUAUAUAUAUAUAUGAUAGUGANNNNNNNNNNNNNNNNNNNNNNNNNNNNNNNNNNNNNNNNNNNNNNNNNNNNNNNNNNNNNNNNNNNNNNNNNNNNNNNNNNNNNNUAUAUAUAUACACCGACACGUACAUAAAAAUAAGUAAGAUUUCUUUUUUAAAAGUUAACACACGGAAGUUCAAGUAAUCAAAAAUAUAUUUUACAUGACCCGACUCAAUGUAGGAAGUGUAUAUAAAAAUAAAAAUGAAAAAGUAAAAAAAAAAUUAUGUUGAAACGUCGACAAACUCGAAUUUAUAUCGACAUGUACAUACCAAAAGCAAAAUUUUUUUUUUUUUUAAAUUAACAAUUAGAAGUUCUAAAUUUAUGUUGAAAUAUUGACCACCUCGAAUUUAUACUCUAACACAUACAUAAAAAUAAACACGUAAAAAUUAGUUUUUUUUCUUCAAAUUAACAAACGGAAUUUAUUAACGAAAUUCAGAUUAUGUAUACUACAGAAAAUAAACAUGAACGUUUAUAAAAUGGAGGGGAUGAAAGUGAUAUUUUAUAAAGUUUGAAGUGGAGGUGGUCAAAUUAACUUUUUAAAUAUCAUUCUACAAACUAUUUUAAAAUGUAAAGUCGUAGAAAAUAUAACUUAAGAAAGUGGAAGAUGCCAACGAUCCAUAAAAACGUAAAUAACUGUAAUUUAUAACGACACAUAUAAAAAAAUAAGUAAGUAAAAAUUCUUUUUUCGAAAUUAACGAAUGAAAGUUCAAAUAAUCAAAAACAUAUUAUAUGUGACAUAAUUCAUACAUAAGAAGCGUACAUAAAAAUAAACACAAAAACGUAAAAAAAAUACAUUGAAACGUAGACAAACUCGAAUUUAUAAAACUCGAAUGUAUAAAAAAACAAGUUAAAAAAAAAUUAACGAACGAAAGUUCUAAAUUUACGUUAAAACGUUGACUACCUCGAAUCUAUACCGACACUUACAUAAAAUAAACAUGUAAAAAGUANAAAAAAAGUUUUUUUUUUUUUUUUUUUUUUUUUUUUUUUUAAAUUAAUGAACGAAAGUUAUUAAGAAAAAUCAUGUUAUGUAUACUAAAUUAAAUAAACAUGAAAGUUUACAAAAUGGAGUUGCAAAAAUGAUAUUUUAUAUAAUUCAAAGUAGAUGGAGAAAGUAAAAAAUGACAUUUUAAAAAGGAAUGAAAGAAAACACGAUUUUAUAAAAUAAAAGGGUAUAAAUGUAUUUUUAGAAAGUAAAGGUGCCAAUUGUCACUAGAAACAUCCACCGACAUUGUUUUUUAAUAUAGAUAUUAGAAAAAAACAUCAACAACCUCGUCUACAUGUUUGGACGAAAGAUCAUCCACCAGGACAAAUCAUUAGUAACCCAUCCGCAAGCGUACAAACUCGAUCUUCUAAUGAUCUAAUAGACCACUGCCACUAUGUGGUCUUCAUAUCCGCAGUCGAGCCUCGAUCCAUCAAGGAAGCUCUUCUGGAGCCUGAAUGGAUCAUCGCCAUGCAAGAAGAACUAGCCGAGUUUGAAAGAAACAAAGUGUGAUAACUAGUACCGAAGCCAAAAGGUCACACUGUUGUUGGAACAAGAUGGGUGUACAAAAACAAACUGGAUGAAUCCGGUGCGGUCGUACGAAACAAAGCAAGAUUAGUUGCUAAGGGGUAUAGUCAACUAGAAGGUGUUGACUAUGAUGAAACUUAUGCCCCCGUAGCCAGUAUGGAAGCAAUAUGCAUUUUCUUAGCGUAUGCGACACACAAAAAUAUGAAAGUACAUCAAAUGGAUGUAAAAAGUGCCUUCCUGAAGGGUGAACUGAAAGAAGAGGUUUACUUACAACAACCUCCAGGCUUCGAAAGUCAAGAUUCCCCAGAUUAUUGUUAUAGGCUUGAGAAAGCAGUCUAUGGUCUUAAGCAAGCAUCAAGGGCAUGGUACGAGACUCUCUCCGAGUUUCUUGUCAUGUCCGGAUACAAAAGAGGUGUGAUUGACCCCACAUUAUUUAGAAAGGCAAAUGGUAAUCACCUUAUGCUUGUCUAAAUCUAUGUGGAUGAUAUCAUAUUUGGGUCAACAGAUCAGGAUAUGGUGGAUGAAUUUGCAAAGCUCAUGACUAACAAGUUCCAAAUGAGCAUGAAUAGAGAGAUCAAUUUCUUUCUAGGACUCCAAGUGAAACAAGUCCCUCAAGGGAUAUUCAUUCAUCAAGAAAAGUAUACCUAUGAAUUGCUGAAGAAAUACGCAAUGGAUAACUAUUCCUCAGCCAAGGUUCCUAUGGCCUUCGGAUAUAAGAUUUCCGCUGAUCCUUCCGAAGAUCAGUGGACCAUAAAACUUAUAGAGGAAUGAUUGGUUCGUUGAUGUACCUCACCGCAAGUAGACCAGAUAUUGUCUUCGCAACAGGCUUGUGUGCCAGGUACCAAGCCGAUCCUAAUGUAUCGCACUUGACUGCAGUUAAGCAAAUCCUCAGAUACUUGAAAGGAAGCAAAGCUCUAGGCCUCUGGUAUCCUGCAUGGAACGACUUCAGCCUUCAAGCCUUCACAGAUGCGGAUCCUGCCGGAUGCAGACUGGAUAGAAAGAAUACUUACGGUGGUUGUCAAUUUCUUGGAGGAAGACUAGUCAGCUGGUCCUCAAGAAAACAAAAUUGUGUUUCUUUGUCCACCGCAGAAGCUGAGUAUGUGGCCGCAGCCAGCUGCUGUUCUCAAGUCUUAUGGAUGAAAACCCAACUGAUAGAUUACAUAUACAUAACGUUGCGGAUACCGAUUUAUUGUGAUUCAGAGAGUGCCAUAGCGAUUUCUUAUAAUCCUAUUCAUCACUCAAAGACGAAACACAUUGAACUCCGGUAUCACUUCAUCAAAGACCACAUUCUCAAAGUUAACAUUGAAUUGAUUUUUGUCAAUACUCAUGAAGAGAUUUCUGAUGUGUUUAUAAAGGAACUUGAUGCAACAAAACUCUAUAGUUUUCUGAAAAUGUUAGGUAUGAUGAAUCCGGACCCGCAAUUCUUCUUGAAUUAAUAGGUACCGCAGACCACUUCUGGUCUCCGUUGCGGUCCUAGAAGUUAUAUAUGUAUCAUACAUAGUUUCAGUAUACUUUGUAUACCGCAACCAUAUAUCAUACUUAUAUUCCUUGGGUCUUUAUUGUUUGUUGUUUAUGAUCUUUUAUCAAGUGUUCCUUUCAGAUCUUGCUACCACAGUAACACUGUCUUCCACCGCAGUCAUCAGAAUCAAUCCACAGUCACAUUAAAUGAUCACUUCAUACAUUCCCUGAACUUUGUGUGCUAUUUAAUGGUCCUCAUUUAAUAAAUAAACUUCUCCAUUAAAUAAAAAUAAAAAAACAUUCUUUUGUAGGAUACAACGUUUCAGUCCCCUGUAAAAUACAUCUUUUUGGUGUCAGACCUAUUUUAGGUUAAAUGACAAAUAAAUCUUUUUUCCAUAAAAGAAAUCUUUUAAUAAAUCCUUCUUUUUCUUAACUUGUCACUUCUCAUAGCCCCCAACUGUCUAAUCCGUUUCAACUUCCUUUUUAUUCAAUGGAUUUUAUACCCUCACCACACGUUCUUCAAACGUGCAGUAUAUAGGGUAAAUCCAGUAAACUUUUAAAAUCUAGGUCUAUAUAAACCCUUUUUCCCUCCCAAGAAAGAUUUAUGCUUUCUAAACCCUCAAUGACGAUCUUUCUCUUCCUCACCUUCUUGCACUCUGUUUGCUGCAAGUUCCUAAAUCUUUUCAAAAUGGUGAAAUCUGACAUCUCAAAGAAGCAAUCCAAGGCGUUUGGGUCCGCAGGACCUAUUGGGUUUGAAUCAACAACCAAAAAUCAAUCCCCAACGAUAACCUCUAGCAAUUUCAGAGCUGUUUUUGAGGAUCAUCCCUCAUACAAUGAAGCUAUUCUUUUGAUGAUCAAGUACCUGUCAUCUCACCCUCUAUUUGGCGCAUUCAAUUCAUUCACUAAUGUUGUUCCUCUGUCCACCCUGCUCAAGUGUGAUUUCUCCACUUUUCACCCCAACAACAACCCUCAAGAAGUUCACUUGACCUUGAUCGAUGAUUCCCUGGUAGUCCUGACCAAAACCAAGUUUCUGGAAGCAAUCAACCUUCGAGUUCUUCCCUCAACUCGAAUUUACUCACCAAGUGCCAAUGAUAUCACCUCAACCCUAUACCAGAUGGGGUAUCAGAAGAAGCUGAAAAGUAUUGGGGAAUUCAAGACAAAUCAACUCCCUACAGUAUGACAAUACGUUUGCCAUUUUGUGAUCUGGAGUCUCUCUGGCAGAACCGGAGGCAUAGACAAUAUGGGACUCCAUCUGUUGGAGAUCCUGUGGAGCAUCUUCAUUGGGAAUGCAGUCAACUAUGGACAAAUUCUCUGGGAUCAUUUUCUAUGGUAUCUUCCCAAGGAGAACCCUAGAUAAGACCCAAAUGAACUCACAUUUGCAUGCUUUUGGUCUCUUUGCAUCUUGUAUCUUCACAAAGAUGCGAAGCUUGACAUGGGUGUGGACACCAAUCUCUUCAUCACAUGCGACUUAAAAAGGUACACUCUUUCAAAAGAUCAAUCAAUAUUUGGACCUCUAAGAAGAUUUCAUGUACACAUCUUGAUAUCUAUUGGACUUGAAACCCAAGAAGUCACUGAUCACAUAGAGGCUACGGAUGGUAUUGACCCAUACCAUUCCUCCCCACCUCAUCCCAUUCAGGCGAUUGUUAUUUCUUCAAAACCCCAUGGUCCCUUAAGUACCACAGUUCCUACUGCAACCGUAGUUCCCACUUCAACCUCAGCCCCUCUUACUGAAGGACCCUAUAAAACAAAAUCUAAGCAUGUCAAGCAAAUUGUCUCUUCUAAGAAGCGCCCCCGCAACAUAGUCAGGAAAUAUGCAAAUCCUUCCAAGAAACGCAAACACAUGAUUGUAGAAUCUCCAACUGACUCCCAUCCUUCUCAAUCCCCAACUCAUGACGAACCAGUAAAUGUUGAUAAAUCCACAAGUGAUGAAUCUGAUGAUCUCUUCAGACGAAAGAAACUAAAGCUUACCCCUAACCAGAGCCAAAUGUGUGACCAGACAAAUACCUUAGUCUCUCAAAAGACUCCGGUGGUCCUUGGAACCCCCGUAGGAUUAUUCACAUCUACCAUCUAUAGUUACUCAGAUGCAUCAAGUGCAUCUGUUUCAAUUGAGCAUGGAGACAACACCCCAAUUGGAUCCCAAGAGGAUCCUAUUGGUACGAAACGCCCUAAGGUCUCCAGGGCAAGUCGCCUUCAUUAUUUUGAGCCAGAGGAGUUGUGCUCCAUCCUUCAUUUUGCAACCCAAACACUUCAAACAGAUAACCAUUUGCAGGGCACCUCUUUUGCCCAUGUCAGAACCGAACGGAGGCCACACUUGACUACGAGUCAAGGAGACCAAGGAAGUUCGGGAAACCAUACUCCGCCACCAUUACACUCAUGUGUUUUAGGCGUGGUGAGCACAAUUGUGCCAGGAUCCAUGAACCCGGGGGACACCCCGGUGCGAACUCAUGGAUUUGAUGGUUAUUUUUCAAACGACUCCUGGACUCGGUAUCAACCAAACACUGAGUCCGAAGUCACGAAGUACGAAGCCUUCCACAGAGCAUUCCAGGCCCAUAAAGAUCAACAAAAAAAACCAACAACAACAAAAGGAACAUGAAUUGCUAACCGUAGCAAAAUAUUGGGCAGAAGCUUUCAGCAACGCCAAGACUGUUCAUGAUCUUUUGCAAAUUCAAGACUGGAUGUCUCGCAUGGAAGCCACGGUGCAAAACACUCAAAAUAUUCAUGAUAUUGGUUCAUCUAAACCUCCCCCCACUACUGAAACACAUGGUUCAAAUGACGACAGAACCGCAAUUGAGAUCAGUUCCGAACCAAUGUUUGGUUUGGAUGAUCUUGAUGUUGACCAAAUAGAUCAGCCUCCUCAUUCAGAUGAUUUCAUAAUGAUCUUUGAUGAAGAAGAAGAUUCAAGUGGCUCUCAACACUCCACCACAAAGCCAAAGAAGAAGAAGAAGAAGAAGAAGAAGAAGAAGAAAUUGGUUGUAUCCCACAAAGAAUUUCUCUCCCUAUAGUCAAAGGUCGAUCAGAUUCUGGCCGCAGUCACAACCCCUCAACCGCAACAAAUUGAAAUUGCUAGGCCGCAGUCCCAAGCAGAGCAGGUUGAACGUCUCGAAACUAGGGAAAGAUUGGCUACUGAAAGAAUCUCCUUAAAGGUGGAAAUGGGCAUUCGAGCCCUCGACAACAACAGAACUGUUGGUCACAAAGAGUUGAUGGCGACUGCUGAACGCCUGAUCCAAGAAAUAUCUACAAUCAAAGUUGAACUCCAAUCUAGAAUUGCGGAUCAAACAGUACAGUCAAAGAAGCUUGUUGAGGAAACUCACAACGCUUAUGAGUCCAUAAUUGCGGUCCUUCAAUCCACAAUCAACAACUUAAGGCACUCUCUAUCUGCAAGCUCCUAUGGUCAAGAGAUACUGAAUCUUACCAAAGAAAUUCAUCAACUUCUCUUCAACACCAAGAUUCCAGAUAAUCAACAACUCAGUGAUAUUAUCAAAUCCCAGUUCAACAAUGUCUUCUCAAAGAUUGAUGGCCUCAGACAAUGGUUUGAGGAGCAACAGGUUGUUACUUCCUCAAAAGCGGGAAGUGAACACUCAAAUCCGCAACACCAUCUAUCUACAGCAGCUGUUCCCAUUCCAAACUUCGGUCCAUCCCACUUUGUUUCAUCACAACCAAGGAUCGAAACUCAACAACUAACUCCACAACACUCACCGCAACACAUCGCUAUGGUUCAAUCUCUUCAGCAAACUCCAAUUGCAACUACAGAUACACAUAAGCUCCCCUCUCCAGUGAAAACUCAUCACUCUCAUCCACCACAUCAAGAACAACAACACUCACCACUUCAAGAAAUCCAUCAAUCCCCACCUCGUCAAGAAACUCCACCACAUUUCAAAAAUCUGGAGCCAACAAUGUCUUCUGAACACUCCAAUGUCUCUCUCACAACCAAACAAUGUAAAGCAGACUGGAAGGCCGCAAAGUUUGCUGAAAAAUCUGGAGAGAUCAUGGCAUUGACACGACAUUGGAUGAAACCCUGAUUAACUCCUGGGUUAAUCCUACAACAAGACUACUUGAUGAAGACUACAGACCAAUCUUUACAUAUGUUGAAUCGCCUACAGAUGGAUAUUGGGAUAUCCCUAUUUCUCCCAACGUUAAAUUCUUCACUGUCUUUGAACCCUUCGACCGCAGUCUUCCCGAUAACCAAAGGCUCCCCCUUGAAUUUGAAUGACUGAGCCGAUUCCACGCCAAGCAUAGAUCUGCCUUCGAAAGCAUAUGGUCUAACGAUAGACACUCCAUAGUCAAGAGUUACAAGAUAAGAAGAUUCAUAAAAACAGAGUUCAUUCAGUACACACUGAAAAGAAGAGGUGACGAUUAUAUCCGAACUCAGGCAAAUUUUCACUGUAUGAAUCCGAAAGAGGUAUUUUUUAUUGCCAGGGUGUUUCAGAUCAAGUCAGAGAAACAUCCCAAGAUGAAAAUUGCAUUUGAAAAGGCUUGUGAGUACCUUAAAUCCACAGUGUGUGACUUCGCCAAGAUUGAUGUGGAUAUUCAUCCAGUCCUUGCUAAAAAAUUCAAUCUUCCUGUACUUGAUCUAGCACCUGCCUUUAUAGAAGGAUGUCAAGAUCGAUCCUUAGGUGCAACCAACUUUCCGGAACUGAGAGUUGUGUUCAAAAGAGCUAACAACAAUGUCAAAUACUUCAUCCCCAUCACUGCUAUGCACCGUCUCACCCACAGAAAGCUAGAAGUCACCUUGACUUCGAUGCAGAGGACGAAACACACAACUGAUGAAGUAAAAUUCAAGAUCACAAGGAGGAUCACUUGGCUAGGUGAAGUAAGAAAAUUCUGGUGGUUGCUGAUCAAGUUUUUGAAACUCAACAAGUGAGAAGGUUGAAGAGGUCACUUAGGGGGAAAAUGUUGAAUCAGAAAGUGACACUCUUAAACCUCUCAAUCUGAUGUCUAUUUCUCUAUCGCAACGGAUCUUUUGCUACCGCAACCUCAAAUGAAGAAGUUAUCUGCAACGACCUCAUCCGUAACACAGACUAGUUAUUUUGUUUCUUAACUUAUAUGUUUACAUUGUAUUAACCAAUGUACCUUGCAUGAACACUUUAUCAGAAAUUUAGUCUUUGUUUAUUCUCCAUGUAAUUUCUCGAGACUCUAUAAAUAGAGAUGUCAACUUUUGAAUGAGAAUACAUCUUAUUUCUCAAUCACAUAUCUCCAUUCUCUUAAUAUCUGAAUUCUUACCUUUUUAUUCUCAAGAUCUUACUGAACUACCUCUCAAAUACAUUAAGAUCAAAAUCUCAUAUCUCUUUCGGAGCAAGUCCUUGUGACUUCACUCACUUUAAGCUGAUCACAUAGAUUAACUUGGUUUGAAUGCAAACCUUGUUAAGAAUCAGCUUAGUGUUUACUUGAUAUAUAACUUGUUGUCAUUUACAUUUUCUUUACAUUUCGUAAUUAUAUUUCCACAACUAACAACUCUAACAAUCCUAACUUCUUAUUAUUGUUGAGCUUAAUGAUCCUUUGAGAUUAACUUCAUUCCGCAACAUAUAACUUGUACUAAUUUUUGUUCAAUAUCUCAAAAGUUUUUCUCUCAACAACCUGCAUAUGAGCUGGAACCAGAACCAGAACCAGAACCUCCUUCCUGAGUGCUCAUCACCAAACUGAAAUACAACAUGCAAAUGAUCAGAACAUACCCAAGAAUCCUCAUUCUACAAGCUUCCUAGAUUCUCCAAGACUCUCUGUAAUUCAAGUAUGGAUCAUAUGCUUUCAGUAGUAUGGGCCCAAUACUACCUUCCACACUUAUCCAUACUUUCCUCAAGAAUCAUCUUGAAUCCUCUAAGUCACCCUCUUAAACUAAUGCACCCUUUGAUCGCUAAACAACAUAACUAACCCGCUGAAGCACUUCCUAGGCUCUCAUAGGUUCCCGACCUCACCUUGCCGUCAACUGCUAAAAGAUUAUCACUGAUGUCAACAAACUGCAUCAUGAAUAUAGUCACAGGCAAUAGAGAUCAGAUAAUCCUUCGAGUAAAAGACUCAACCCUAUAACGGUUGGACUCAAACAAAAGUUGCACAAUAUGGUCAAAUCUAUCACUCUGAUAUUAUUUAACAUGUGCAACAUGUGACUUAGCAUAUUCACUUAGUAGUUGAUCCACAUCACUAAGAGUCCCAUAAAGCACAAAGCAAGCAACAUUCGUACAACAUAAAAUCUAACCAGCAUAUCCCUACUCAAGCCAUUCUAUCCACAAAUUUGAAAAUCACACUAACAUGCAAUUCUUAAAAGCUCAUACAAUCAGGCAUAUAAAGGCAUCUCUCCUAUCAUAGAAUCCUAAGCAGAUCCUUAGCCCUAAUCUAGCAUGCAAUUCUCAUAAUCAUAUCAUAUAUCAUAAUAAACAUGUGUUGGUAUUCUGGGAACCACUUACUUAAGCUCAACCGAUUGCAUGCAUCAUACCCCUUUCUUUGAUUAGAAACCCUUUUAAUAAAACAUUUAUUUUAUGAAAAUUUUCACCAAACCCUCAGUUUGAGUCCAUGCAUACCCGAGAGUAUACCUGAAUCCCUUAAACCAAGGCUCUAAUACCAACCUGUAACAUCCCAAAAUAUGAAGGUAAAAAAUUCAUUUUUAAAACAACCAAAACACUCAUUUAUCAUUUAUCAGACUAUUAUCCCAAAAUCUCAAGGUUGCAGAAAAUAUAGGUGUAUACGUUGUGAUCAAGUCGGGUCCUUCCCUUUCGAAUCGGAAGUACCUGAAACCACAAACAACAACUAUAAGCAAAAGCUUAGUGAGUUCCCAAAAUAUCACAUAACAUGCCACCAUAGAAUACCAUGCUACAUACAUAAGGUUGCCAUGGGCUACCCCCAUGGUCUUUACGUGGAAUACCAUGGACUACCCCCAUGUUCUGAUAUCCAAGUGCCAUGGGCUACCCCCAUGGUCUUCACAAAAGUGCCACGGGCUAUCCCCAGGGUCUUUAGAAAAUUACUUUCAUAACAACUACCAAUCCACAUGUCAGAUAAUGGGUCGACAUUGGUGCCUUCGACUCAUUGGUAUAAUGAGGAAACUCACCUCAAUCCAAGAUAACCAAAUACUCGAACUGCUUCUACCAGAAACCUCGCGCUGACAUUAACAAUUAAGAUCUCAUCAAUAAUUGAUUCCCAUUAAACCAAGAAUUCUACUCCAAUAACCGAUCCUUCAGGGUAAAAGUCCAUUUUACCCUUUUCCUUACUUUCCUAAAAUCCAAAGACCAAACCACUAGCAUCGAAAGCCCAAAACCCUUAAAUGACACCACAAGGCCCAAUAAGGCCCAAAUAUCUAAAUUGGACCCAAACCCAUCAUGGAACUAGCUCGAGAAGGCCCAAAAUCCUAAAAGACCCAAAAUAUCCAAAGGUCAACCCUAGUCAAACUUUUGGUCAAUGGUCCAUAGCCAACAAGUCAACGAAUCAAGAGAAGCUCAUCAGACUGAGUACGCCCCACGUACUCAAUGGGUACGCUUAGCGUACACCCAAGAAAGUCAGUAUUCCCCGCGUACAAGGAGGUACGCCCCGUGUACUAACCCUGCCCACAACCAACCUAGAAAAUCUCUUAAUCCCUUAAGCCAAGAUGUCCAAAGCUUAGAUAUAGUUCCAAAACAUGGCGUAAUCCAUAAAGAUGUUAGCUUUGACUUUUUUCAUGGCUCAAUGGGUCUCAAAUCCAAGUUUUUUACUUUCCAAAUUCAUCAAAAAGAGGCUAAACCACAUGCAUGAGUUGAUAUUAACUAUCAAGAUCACAUUUUUAUGCAUUUGGGACACCUAAAACAUCCAGAUAUAGUGUCCAAACUCUUGGGGCAAGCUCAAACUCACAAAUACAAACCAAAGGGACCGAAACAACCCCAAAAAAAUAUCUAACCAAGGAUAUGCCAAUGUGAGAGCUUUUUACCUUCAAUAGAUGGCAGAGGAUGAGAUACUUUUAGAUCUAUAAGCCCUACUCCAAAAGAUGAUCCUUUAACAACCUUCAACCUCUUCAAAUGCUCAAGAACACUCCAAAAUCACACACAAAAGAUUGAGAACUCCAAUAUGGUGGCUAAGGGUCGAUUAUUAGGGUCUAGGAGGCUUGGAGGUUGAUAAGGGUCAAGACUUAAGAAGAUAAGAUGCUUAAAUAGUGGUAAAACCCUAAAAAUGGGGGUUUAUAGCUGAAGGGAGUACGCCUUGUGUACCCCUUAGAGCGCUUGGCGUACUCAAAGAAGGUUCACGAUCACUUUAGUCUCUAUGCCCAACGUACUUGUUGAGUACGCCCCGCGUACUCGACCAAGCUCUAAUUCUUAUGAUCUUCAAUUGGCUAUAACUCCUUCGUCUUAAGUCUGUUUCCAACGAACUUUAUAUCCACGGAAAGGUAACGUGAAGCCCUACACUUCUAUCAACUCAUCUUCGCCUAAUAACUUCCUGAAUAAAAACCCAAAAUUCAUAAAGAACCGAGUUAUCAAAUUACGAUUACACCUUUAGGCUCCGAAACACAAACUGACACUCAGAUCACUUAAUCUAUAACCCCCCCUCAAUCCAAAAAGGGCCAAAACUCUCCUUCCCAAGGCCCUAACCCUUAUGAUAAUUGGGCCACAACCCUGAAUAAUGAAACGUGUAGCACCUGGUUUCCGGUAUGUGAAUUUUAUUUGAGCAUUGCCCUAAUUUAGCCUUAGACUCGGCGAGUCAUAGGGUCCGACUCGCCGAGUAGGGACGAGACUCAGGACGCGUUUUAAGUAGGCGACUCGACGAGUCCAUAUCCUGGACUCGGCGAGUCACCGCUGCGGGAUGAAACCCUAAGUUUCAAGGGUUUGCACCCUAUUUAAACUCUCAUUCCGCCCCAACUCGUCCCCAUUCACCCCCAGAACUCCCCCUACAUCGUUUUCCCUUGUUUUCUUGAGAGUUUGAGGUGUUCUUGGUGUGUUCUUGAAGGUUUUGAAGAGUAAGAGGAGUAGAUCAAGAAGAGGAGAAGGAGAUCAGCCAUCCUUGUGUCAUUUCAACAUUUCCUUUGAGGUAUAACCCGUUUUCCCCUUGAUUCUAUGCUUAAAACUUCAUUUGGGUCCUUCUUGGUCAAUUCCCCAAGUUUGCAUGUUCAUUAUAUGUUGUAAUAAGGCGUUUGGCCUUUGGAUCUAUGUAAGAUUGAGCUCCAGGAGCUCAGAUCUGUUAGCUUUUUGGCCUCAUGAGGCUUGUUAGCCCUAGAUCUACCAUUUUGAGACAUUUUGAGCCUUAUAAUCCAUAUUGGUGAAUAUCCACACGUAAAGUUGGAAACUUUACGUGUGAUUCGUGUCCUAGAAGUCCAGAUCUAUGAAUGGCAUGGUCUGGAACCGAGCAAAUCGGUAUAUUUAAGGAGUGCAUGGCGACGACUCGGCGAGUCGCAUAGGUGACUCGGCGAGUCUGGUCGCGAGUCACCGAAUUGGUCCCUUCUUCAUGUGUCGAGUUGAGCCUUGAGUCACAGGGGGUGACUCGGUGAGUUGGGAGCUGAACUCACCCAUGUUAGGACUCGGCGAGUCAAUGCCCUGACUCGGCGAGUCCAAGGCAAUCUUCAUAGCUCAAGAACAGACUCGGCGAGUUGUUCAUACAACUCGGCGAGUCUUAGCAUAAAGUGUUCAUCGGAUGAAGAUGAACUCGACGAGUUGUUCAUACAACUCGGCGAGUAGGAUGAAGGUGUUGAAUGGCAGUUAGAAGGUGAACUCGUCGAGUCAUAGCCCGACUCGACGAGUAGAACCAGGGACCCAGGACAUUGGUUUGCUAGGGACUCGGCGAGUGGUGAUCCACUCGGCGAGUCGGGUCAACUGAAAGUUGACUCCAGCUUUGGCUUAGAGUUAAUCCAGGGGUAAAAUGGUCAUUUUACCUAAAGGACAGUUAGCAGUGUUUGAUUGAGUAUGUCGUGGAAAUUGCAGCCGGAGGACUCCCGGAGCAGCAGCAGUCAGUUAGUUCCCGAUCAGUUCAGCAGCUACUUUGAGGUGAGUUACCUUCCAGUAGCGGUGGGUCUAAGGCCACAAUGCCGACCCACCAGUAGGAGUUGUAUGAUAGAUGAUUGUCUUUGUGAUAUCAUCUAAGUUCGCUAGUACCUGACAUGUUAUAUGCUAGCAUGAUAUGCUGUAUGUGAUAGUAUUAGAGUUUGGUUGUUCGGACCGAAGGGUAGUCAGACACCCCAGAUACGUCUGACAGUAUGUGACGAUAUGUAUGCAUGCUGACUUGUUAUGUUAUAUGUGAUCGUAGUAGUAGGGGUGAAAUAGUCCCCGAGGAUCGGUUGUUAGGACCGAUGGGUAGUCAGCACCCCAGAAUGGCUUGACACGGGUAAGACGGCACCCCAGAAUGGCCGUAUGGGUAGGUCGGCACCCCAGAAUGGCUUGACACGGGUAGGUCGGCACCCCAGAAUGGCCGUACCGGGUAGUCAGGCACCCCAGAAUAGCCUGGCAGUAUAUAUGUUAUGUGUUUGUAUGGUAUGCGGUACGUUGGGGGAACUCACUAAGCUUUGUGCUUACGUUUACAGUUUUGUUUUCAGGUACCUCUGCAUCGAAGGGGAAGGAGCCGGCGCGGUAGCGGCACGUCAUACACACACUCUUCGGUUUCCGCAUUUAUGAGAUUUACUGGGAUUGUACUCUGAUAUUUUGAUGGGAUGUACGGUUUGGCUUUUGAGAACAUGGUUGCAAUGUGUUAUGGUGUGAACAAACAAUGUUUCUUUUUAUUUAGACAAUGUUUUUAUUUAUUAAUGUUUUCUAAAGUAAUAUCAAAAAAAAAAAAAAAUGGGGGGUUNCAAAAAAAAAAAAAAGUUGGGUCGUUACAAAACGAUUCGAAACCGAGCGUUACACGAAGUAAGAAAAUAUGCCUAAAUCAAAAGGCAAAUCAAUAAAAAAAUUACAAAGUUUAUAAAGAUACACCUGAAUAUGUUGGCUACCACUGGCCUCAUACUUUAUUUUCUUCUUGUUCCUCCCCAUGUAUAUGUAAUCUAUCCCUUACUAUUAGAACCUAAAAAUUCACAGCUCUAAAGGCAAGAUGGGGUUUUGCUUAACAGAUUUUAAGAAACCUGGCCAUUCGAUUGUAACGCACAAUUUUGGGUAUGAAUUUCAAUUGUUUAAUUUUGGGAAAUUUGGGUGGCCACGACGUGGUGAGGGGAUCAGCAUGACAUGGCAAUCCUGCAUCAAAUGUGUGUUUCAUUUAGACAGCAUGACGUGAUCAUGCAAUGGUCAUGAAGUGGUGACGAUAGAUGUGCAAAACCUUUAUCUUCGGGCUCAAGACCCUAUUUAAAGGAAGUGAUGACUAGGGUUUCCUCCAACCCCAGCCUCCAUCACCUCCAAAAGUGUUCUUGAUCAAACCGUAUCCUCUUUGCAAGCUUUGAGCUCAUUUUGGUGUUUUGGUGCACUGUGAAGAGGAAGAAAAAGAGUUUAGUGUAAGGAUCAAGAAAGAAACUCCCCCUUAUCUUUGGGAUCACUAUCUUGACCAUUUGUAAGACUUCAAGACUUGAUCUUUUUGGUCCCUUCUUAGUAGAUCUAGGGUUAUUUACAUAUUUGAGUUCAUAGUUAUGAAUCGAAUGGUUCAAUAAGAUAAAGUUUGCAACUUUAUGACUCACCAAGGCCCCUUGAGCAUUAUACCUUAUGGAUCUAGAAGUUGGUUGAUUUUGUAGAGUCAUACUUAUGGUUUAGGUCAUAUUUCUCAUAUUAUAACCUAGUUGGAUGAAGGACAUGCAUGGGUUAUGCAUGUCCAUAAAGUUUGGGUUUUUAUGGACCAUAAGGGUGCUAAUAAGUUUCCUGAAUAGUGAGAGAUGAAGACUUAAUGGGUUAAGAGAUUAAUCCCUUAAGUUGUCUUUGUGUAGUUGCUACGACGUGGAGACUUGCUUGUUGCGAUGUGGUGGUUGGUCUGGUCGCAACUAUUUUGUCAUGAAGCUUCCACGACAUAACCAAUGCGUGGCGACGACGUGGAGGUCAACUAGCAUUGACUUUGACUGUUGACUUUUUGACAUGGUUGAUUUUUAGUCAUAUUGUUAUUUUUAGAAAGUAGACUAAAGUUUUACCUUUUAUUAUUCAUUAGGAGGUAUGUAGCACCCACUUUUCGACUGUGUGAGCUCGUUAGCUGUCGACUACAUUUUUUCAGUGAGUUUUAUCACUAUAUUAUAUAGGAUGCUAGUUGUCUUAGUGAAUCUUACAUGUAUGUUGGGUGGGGACAGUUUUGUAAGCUGCGCGGGACCCCUUUAAAUGUUUAGUGGGGCCCGUUAUAUGAAUUGGGCGGGCCGGUUAUGCAUAUUUGGUGGGGUCCGGUACGAGAGCUGGGCGGGGGUCGUUAAGCUAAUUGGGUGAGGGUUAUUAUGUUUGUGGGUGGGGCCCAUAUGGUUAUUGGAUUAGGAGUCUAAGCCCAUAAGUAUAAUUGGUAUGUACUUGAAUUGAUAGUAGCAUGUCCUUUUGGGUUGCCUUCAAACCUGGCAAUCGAAUAGGAUAACUGUUGGAGAGAGAAGAAUGGUUUAUUAAUUUAUUACUAGGUUAAUAAAUUAAUUUGAAAUCAAGAUAAAUGAUUUAUAAAUGUAUUAUGGAUAUAAUAUAUUAAAUAGAAAUCAUAUUGUUUAAUUAAUAUUUAAUCAGAAAUUAUUUUGGAAUUAAUUAUGGGAUUAAAAGAAUUAGUUGAAACUGCAGGAACUAAAGGUGACAAUGUUCAAAUGUUGAGCAUUGAAGCAUUCUAGAAUCUCCCUUAGAGGUAGGGAACUAAAUCUAGAGUGUCUUAGGGUUUCCUUGGGCUCUAAGGCUGCCUUGGAAGGCUUAGGGAGGAUGUUAAGGGAUUAGGGUUAUCUAAGAUACACCUGCCUUAUCUUAAACCUUCCUUAUAACCUAUAUAAACCCCUAUAAGGUUGGAUUUCGUCCUGUGAACUCCAAGAAAGGGUUAGAGCCUAAUUUUUCACUUCCCUUCUCUCUCUCUCUCUCUCCAUAGUAAUCCUUGGUUGCUAGGUUUGUUUGUGAGCCAUUAAAAGCGCGACACUUGUGGCGCUUGCUACCAACGUUCAAGAUCUUCAAGGAUUUUAUUGUUAUUAAAAUAUAACAAUAAAUGUAUGUAUCCUAACCCUAAUUAUAUGUUAAUUUCAAAAAUUACAUGUGCCUCCUAGGGUUUCUAUUUUUUGUGCUCAAUGCUUGUAUGUCAAAUAGUGAAAACAUAGAUCCUCAAAUUAGGGUUGCAUGCAUACAUAGGAUUGUUUGCUAUGUGUAAAACCUAUCAGUGGUAUCAGAGCUUUUGGUUGUUGAUUUUAGUUAGAUUUGAUACAAAAGUAUGAAUUUGACAAAUUAGGGUUUAUGGCAAAUACACCCUAGGGAUUGGAUUUUCGAAAUUAGGGUUUCAAAACCCUAGUUUUCGAAAUUUGUUAGGGUUUUGUGAACCCUUUCCUUUGGCCUCAUAUUUUCGUUUUUUAGGGUUGGUUAACCCUAGGGUUUUCGAAAAUAACUACCUUCCCAUGAUUAGAUUUCAAAAUUUUAGGAUUAGGAUAAUCUUUGGUAAUUAUCUUGUUAAUUGUUUAAGUAGAUAAUUAAAGAUUUUGUAUUAUCCCUUCCCAAAUUUUCGAAAUCUAGGGGAUAAAGGGAUUAGGUUAAAUUAAUUGUUUAAUUUAAUGGAUAACCCAUUAAGAUUUAAUAAUUUAAAUUAAUUGUUUAUGUUUGGAUAAUUAUUAAAUCAAGGUUUUUAAUAUUUAAGAUUUUAAAAUUAAAAGGUAUUAAUUUUCGAAAAUUUUAAAGUAUUAAUUAAAAACCAUAGUAUUUUGAAAUGUUUAAAAUACACUCUUAUACUAUUAUAAUAUUAAAAGCUUAAUGCUUAUAUAUGUAUAAGACGAGUCAGUCUUACCGUUAGUAGGCGUCAUUCACGAAGCCAGUCUAUAAGGGAGGGUAUAAGGUUACUGCCUAUAAAUGUUGGAUAAGGUGUCUAAGUCCAUAACUAUUUCUGGUAUGUACUUGACCCGACCCGGCAUGGUCCAUUUGGGUUGCAUGGCACCAUGCAAUUGGAUAGACUAAAUGAGAGAAAUAACACUUGGAGAUUAUUAAUAUAUUAUAAGUUCUAAUAUAUUAAUAAUAUUAUUUGAUUAGUUUGAUCAAUAAUUAAUUUAGAAUUAAUUAAGUGGUCAAAAGAGAACUAAUUAAAUAUAUGGGUUGAUUAUGUAAAUCAUCCACAUCUUGUAUAGUGGGCUAAUAGGCUCCAUGGAUUAUCAAGUUGGGUUCUACCCAUAGGAUGCUCCAUGGGAGUUACAAACCCAUGGGUCAUGGAAAUGAAGAGUCAUGACACAUUAGGGUUUACAUGGUGUAACCCUAGAUGUGUCAACACUAUAUAAGAAUCAUAUUCUCCACCAAAAUCGGCUACACUAAGAAAACAAGAGGGCUUGGCCGAUUUCAAGAAGUGUGUGUUCUCUCAUAAGUUUUUCCAAGAGCAUUUGGUGUUGUGUGAAGCAUUUGAGGCAUCACAUUUGGGGUGCUAGGCUCACAAGGUUUCAAGGAACACAAGCAACAACAAGGUAAGUUAUUCUAUCUAUUAUUCAAGUUAAAAUUGUUCCCCAUGUAUGCUAGAUAGGAAUAUAACCUUGGAAUUCAACUUUGCAUGAUAAUUAGACAAACAUAGAUCCAAGGUUAUUAGGGUUGCAUGUACACUUAGGAAGUGUUAGAAUGCUCAAAACCCAUCAGUGGUAUCAGAGCCUAGGCUUGUUUGUUUGUUAUUUGUGCUUAAAAGUUGAAGAAAGUCGAAAAUCUUGCUGUCUGACUGAUGGACUCGGCGAGUCCAUGGGGAGGACUCGACGAGUUCAUGUGUAUCUUCAACCUACUCGGCGAGUAGGUUUAUGCACUCGGCGAGUAGGGUCGACAGAGUGCAGAAUUUCGACUUGUGUUGCUGGAAAUGGAUUAGAAUCAUUACCCUAAAAUGUUUUGGUACUUGAAAACUUAUUUUAGAAGGUGUAAUGUCUUUUCUAACUCAUUUACAACAACUAGUUAUCAAAAUUACAAAGAUUAAAUGUGAUUUUGAUUCUUGAAAGUGUUCAUAUUCAUAUUCUUGUUCUUAUGAUGUUUAGAUGAUCAUAGGAAUUAUUUGUAACCUAUGUGGUAGAUUAAUUCAUGAUCAUAAUGUGUUUUAAUGGAGUCCAUAACUUGUCCUCAAGUUAUGGAAAACCAAAAGUCUCUUGGAUUAAAAAACAUUAAAAGAACACAAGAGUUAGGAAAAAUGAAAAGUCCUCAUUUUAUUACUCUAUUAAACUCAUAAGUUACAAGAAAUGAAAAGUUUUGAAAGUUUACAAAACUUGCCCUCAAGUUUUGGAACAAGUAAAGUUAAGUUAAAACUUUAGUUCCAACCCCUAGAAUUUUAAAAGUUAAAAUUCAACCCUUAUACUUAUAUUAUUAUGAUUUAAUAAUUAUAUAUAUAUGUAUAAGAACAAAGUCGUCUUACCGCUAGUACGCCUCAUUCACGAAGCCGGUCUAUAAGGUGGGUAUAAGGUUGUUGCCUAUAAAAUGGUGACUUAAUGGGUGUCCACUCUCACCCACCGCUUGCUUGAUCGGUGGAGGGUCGUUAGCCGAACGGGUAAGACAAGGACUUAUUAAUUCUCAUUCAAAGUAUGAUGAAUAUUAUAAAGUAACUAAAUGUUUUAUUAAAUUCCCAAUCUUAGUUACUUUAGGAAAAAUGUGAAUAAGGUGCUAUUCCAUGAAAUUACACUUUACACUUUGAUUAAGUCGUUGGUGGAGCGUGUGUGGUUAACCGGCACACUAACUUGGACUUAACAAGGUAGGUAAAGGGUGACUUAGGGUUUAUUAUAGUAUCGAUGGAGCGUGUGUGGUUAACCGGCACAUCGAUUGAGUGAUAAACUUUAAGGGUACCAAGUGAUUUGCAUGGUUACUUCACACCUCGUUUUGUGAUCCUCGGUAUCCCAGUCACAAAACUUGGAGGGCACACUCGAGAUUGAAACAUGCCUUUGAAAAGUUCAUUGAAUCUCAAAGAAUCUAGGAAUUUCUAAGAACCAUUCAAAAACCUAAUACUAAAAUAUUGCGGUUUUCGUGGUGGAAAUUGGUGAAUCGUCAUUCACCUACCUUUCAAAUAUGAUAUAGCUUAGAUUACGGCAUACCUCUUCUAAGUUAUAUUAUAUUGUGAUUGGAUCCUAGCCUUAAUAUUACAUUUGGGUGUUUUAUUAAGGACUCUCUUAUAUCUAAACUAAUCUUGUCCUCUUUCCUUCAGAUGUCUUUCAACAAUGCUUCUGGCUCUAAUCCUAAUGGCUCCUUUACCCUUAUGAACUUGUGUGGGAAAGUCACCUUUGAUGGAUCCAACUUCAAUGAGUGGAUCAGAAACAUCAGGAUGAUUACCCGCUACGAGGACAAAGAAUAUGUCCUUGACAAGGAGCUUAAGGAGAUUGAUGAGUCCACUGCAACUCCUCAGGAGAUCGCUGAAUUUCGGGCACAUGAAAGGGAUGCUACGAAAGUGGCUUGCAUCAUGAUGGCCACGAUGACAGCGGAACUCCAAAAGUCUUAUGAGGAUUUCUACCCUUAUGAAAUGCACCAAGAUUUGAUGGAAAGAUACCAUCAAAGUGCAAGACAAGAGAGGUAUGAAAUCAUCUGCUCCAUGAUAACAACCAUGAUGAAGGACGGGGAAUCCGUCACGAGCCACAUGCAGAAAAUGCAAAGGUAUGUGGAUCGUUUGCUGAAGCUUAAUGUGAACUUCCCGGAGGAUCUUGCAAUAGAUAUUAUUUUGCAUUCCUUACCAUCGUGCUAUGAUCAAUUCCGCAUGACAUAUCACAUGAACAAGGAAGAAGUCACCCUCAGCAAACUUCAGGGACUUCUCAAGACCGCAGAAUCAGGUCUUAAGGGGAAGUCGGUUGCUAUCACUCCUACUCAAAACUCUACUCCGGUUUUGGCAAUCGGGAAAAGUCGAGGGAGGAAGAGAAAGAGCUCUUCUAAGGGUACCAAGGUUCGGACCCUUGAUGGCUCUUCUUCAAGUGGAACCAAGAAAGGUUUCAUUACUCCUUCUUCUGACCCAAAAGAGGCUGAAUGCUUCUAUUGCCAUGAAAAAGCUCAUUGGAAGCGGAACUGCCCAAAAUACCAGCAAGAUGUGAAGGAUGGGAAAGUUAAACCCAACCAUGCAGGUAUUUACACUAUCAUUUCUAAUAACUCACCCCAUUCUAAUUCUUGGGUCCUUGAUACCGGGUGUGGUAUUCACAUUUGUUGUGACUUGCAGGGACUAAGAAGAAGUGAGGAUGUGGAGCAAGGAAGGAUAAACUUGAUCAUGGGGAAUAGGAAAGCUAUACCUGUUACCAAGAUUGGAGUUUAUACUUUAUCGCUAAGUAGUGGGUUUAGUUUAGAUUUGAAUAAGUGUUGUUAUUCGCCAGGAAUGGCAAGAAAUAUUAUUUCCUUUCAUGCUUUGUACAAACAAGGGUUUACCUUUUCAUUUAAUAAUGAAGUUGGUUCUAUAGAUGUUUUCUAUAAUAAUGUCUUUUAUUUUAAAGCAUUACCUUGUGAUGGUGUGUAUGAAGCUGUAUCUGUUGUAGAUAACUUGGGAAAUAAUGUUUUGUGUAUUGAUUCUACUAAUAAUAACUUGGAUAAAGCAUCUUUAUGGCAUUGUCGUCUUGGACAUAUAAGCAAGAAACGCAUAGGCCAACUCCAAAAGGAUGGAGUCUUGGAGUCGUUUGACCUAAAGUCAGAUGAUAGUUGCGAAUCAUGCUUACUUGGAAAAAUGACAAAGUCACCCUUCACAGGUUCGUGUGAGAGGGGUGAAGGUUUGUUGGACCUUAUACACACGGAUGUGUGUGGACCAUUCAAACAUGCCACAAGGGAUGCUAAUCGUUAUUAUUUGACUUUUACUGAUGAUUAUAGUAGAUAUGGAUAUGUCUACUUGAUCAAGCAUAAGUCAGAGACUUUCGAGAGGUUUAAGGAAUUUAAACAGGAAGUCGAGAAUCAAUUGGGCAGGAACAUUAAGAUGCUUCGAUCCGAUCGUGGUGGUGAGUAUCUUAGUUCAGAGUUCCUCGACUAUCUAAGGGAAUGUGGGAUAGUCUCACAAUUGACACCUCCCAGGACACCACAGUUGAAUGGUGUGGCUGAGAGGCGUAAUCGAACCUUGUUAGAUAUGGUUCGUUCCAUGAUGAGUCGAGCUACGCUACCAAUCUCAUUCUGGGGGUAUGCCUUAGAGACUGCCGCCCAUAUUCUUAAUCUAGUCCCUACAAAGAAAGUUGCCAAAACUCCUCACGAGAUGUGGACUGGUAAAGUACCUAAACUAGACCACAUCAAGAUUUGGGGUUGCGAGGCUUUCGUGAGACGCGAGACUCAUGAUAAGCUCGAACCUCGAAGCGAGAGGUGUAUUUUCAUCGGUUACCCACAGCGAUCCUUUGGUUACCUCUUCUACAGACCUAGUGACAAUGUGGUCUUUGUAGCAAGAAGAGGAGUCUUUCGAGAAAGAGAGUUUAUAAGCCAAGGAGACAGUGGGAGGCAAAUUGAUCUUGAAGAAAUUCAAGAAUCAAGCGGUGAAGGAACUUCAAACUCUAGCCCUCAACUUGAGGAGGAAACUCCUGUUGAGCCAAUUGACAAAUCUGUACCUCUGAGACGUUCCACGAGAGUUAGGAGUGCACCUGAGCAUUACUAUGGAUUCCAUAUUACUGCAGAAGGUGAGACACUUAUUAGUGAUGAGACACUAGUAAGUCAAGAUGACCCUAACAGCUACGAGGAAGCCAUGGCAGGCCCCGAGUCUGCUAAAUGGAAAGAGGCUAUGGAUAGCGAGAUACAAUCCAUGUAUGACAAUCAAGUUUGGAACUUGGUUGAAAAUGUACCAGGUCGUAAGACAGUAGGGUGCAAAUGGGUCUUCAAGAAGAAGACCGACAUGGAUGGUAAAGUACACACUUAUAAGGCUAGACUGGUUGCAAAGGGCUUCUCUCAAAUUCCUGGAGUGGAUUAUGAUGAGACCUUUUCUCCGGUAGCCAAGAUUAAGUCUAUUCGGGUUCUGUUAGCCAUAGCUGCAUUUCAUGACUAUGAAAUAUGGCAGAUGGAUGUCAAAACCGCUUUCCUUAAUGGAAAGUUGGCUGAAGAUGUUUACAUGAGUCAGCCAGAGGGUUUUGUCAGCAACGAGUACCCUAAUAGAGUGUGUAAGCUUGAGAAAUCCAUUUAUGGAUUGAAGCAAGCACCUCGCAGAUGGAAUCUUUGCUUUGAUGAAAAGGUCAAGGAAUUUGGCUUUUCUAGGAGUGAAGAUGAAUCUUGUGUGUAUGUCAAGGCUAGUGGGAGUAUAGUUAGCUUUUUGGUAUUGUAUGUGGAUGACAUACUACUCAUAGGAAACGACAUUCCAACCCUGCAGGAAGUAAAGUCCUGGCUUGGGAAGUGUUUCGCUAUGAAGGACCUUGGUGAAGCUGCCUAUAUUCUAGGGAUAAGAAUCUUGAGAGAUCGGAGUAAAAGACUAAUUGGACUUAGUCAGAGUACCUACUUGGAUAAGGUGCUGAAGAGAUUCAGCAUGCAGGAUUCCAAGAAAGGAGAGUUACCCAUCCAGAGUAACACCAGAUUGAGUAAGACACAAAGCCCUAGCACUGAGGCUGAGAUAGCAGAAAUGAGUCGAACACCUUACGCUUCGGCUGUAGGAUCGAUCAUGUAUGCUAUGACGUGUACUCGACCCGAUGUAGCUUUUGCCUUGAGCAUGGUUAGCAGGUAUCAGGCGAACCCUGGCAAGGCACACUGGACUGCGGUAAAGAAUAUCCUCAAGUACCUACGGAGGACUAAGGACUGGGUCCUUACCCUCGGUGGGAGUGAUGACUUGAGAGUUGUAGGGUAUAGUGAUGCUAGCUUCCAGACUGAUAGGGAUAAUUUCCGCUCUCAGUCGGGCUGGGUCUUUACCCUAAACGGAGGAGCAAUUUCUUGGAAGAGUUCCAAGCAAGAGACAGUGGCAGAUUCUACUUGUGAAUCAGAGUAUAUUGCAGCUAGCGAAGCAGCAAAGGAGGCGAUAUGGCUGAAGAACUUCAUUGGAGACCUUGGAGUUGUACCAGCUAUUAAAGAGCCAAUGGAAAUUUUCUGUGAUAGUGAAAGUGCUGUUGCCUUAGCCAAGGAACCAAGGGAUCAUGGGAGAUCCAGACACAUCGACAGAAAAUACCAUUUCAUUAGACAUCGGAUCGAAGAAGGACUCCUCGUGGCAAAGAGGGUAUCAUCGGAUGAGAACCCAGCAGAUCCCCUCACGAAGGGACUGAGUAGGGUUAAGCAUCUCCAGCAUGCUCGGAGCAUAGGGCUGAAGGAUGAUAUAAGUUUUAGUAGUUAGAUAACCCAGAAAUUUGUAAAGUGUAAUUGACAUUUGAUGAUGAAUAAAAGGUGUUUUAUUUAUGAGUAAAGUGUUGCUAUCUCUUGUCAAUCGUUUACUAUAUUUCUUUUGCAUGUUUUGACUUCCAGAAUAAUUUUGUUUGGUGUAACAUAUUAUUCAAACCUCCACAGUCGGUCAUAUGUCGGAAGUAGGUAUGAAUCAAGACUGUCAUGAUGGGUUGUAGAGGUCUAAGGUGUUGGACAAGGCUACAACAAUCAUGAGUGCUCAUAAGUUCUGAGCAUUGGACUCAACCCACGCUCACUGGAAUCACUUCAUGGAAUUCUAUCUCGAGUGAUCGUGAGACGGUAAUAUCAUAUAAGUCUUCAAACCUAGAGAUAUGAUUUGUUACUUACAAGUUGGUUAUGCAUUGACUGUACGAAACCGCAUUGGUAACUCGAUGUUAUAAAACGUACUUUUGUGUGUAAUUCAAUGAGUGGUAGAACAAACAUAUGAGUCGAAGUUUAUCUGUUCCUUCUUGGAUUAGAAGCUGAUAUCUGGGCCCCUCGAUGAUUUUGUUUUGACCCAUGUACCGGGCCCGGUCAGAACUAAGUUGAUGUGUUCAAUUAAGUUCUAUGUCAAACAAAUCGGAAAUCGGGAAACAAAUGCUGGACAAUAAGCAAGACAAUGUUCCAUGUAUUUGUCCGGCUGAUAUCUAGAACGGAGGAUUAUAUGAUCACUUAUCUUAAAUGGCGUACCAUCAUCUUCUCAGUUCCGAGAGACCUUGAAAGAGCUACGAUUGCCGGUCGGUUCCUGAAGUACUAGAGAUAUAGUUAUUAGACUUAUCCAAGUGGGAGACUGUUGGAUAAGGUGUCUAAGUCCAUAACUAUUUCGGGCUUGUACUUGACCCGACCCGGCAUGGUCCAUUUGGGUUGCAUGGCACCAUGCAAUUGGAUAGACUAAAUGAGAGAAAUAACACUUGGAGAUUAUUAAUAUAUUAUAAGUUCUAAUAUAUUAAUAAUAUUAUUUGAUUAGUUGAUCAAAGAAUUAAUUUGGAAUUAAUUAAGUGAUCAAAGGAUAACUAAUUAAAUAUAUGGGUUGAUUAUGUAAAUCAUCCAUAUCUUGUAUAGUGGGCUAAGAGGCUCCAUGGAUUAUCAAGUUGGGUUCUACCCAUAGGAUGCUCCAUGGAUGCUCCAUGGGAGUUACAAACCCAUGGGUCAUGGAAAUGAAGAGUCAUGACACAUUAGGGUUUACAUGGUGUAACCCUAGAUGUGUCAACACUAUAUAAGGAUCCCAUUCUCCACAAAAUUGGCUACACAAUAUACACUAAGAAAACAAGAGGGCUUGGCCGAUUUCAAGAAGUGUGUGUUCUCUCAUAAGUUUUUCCAAGAGCAUUUGGUGUUGUGUGAAGCAUUUGAGGCAUCACAUUUGGGGUGCUAGGCUCACAAGGUUUCAAGGAACACAAGCAACAACAAGGUAAGUUAUUCUAUCUAUUAUUCAAGUUAAAAUUGUUCCCCAUGUAUGCUAGAUAGGAAUAUAGCCUUGGAAUUCAACUUAGCAUGAUAAUUAGACAAACAUAGAUCCAAGGUUAUUAGGGUUGCAUGUACACUUAGGAAGUGUUAGAAUGCUCAAAACCCAUCAAUAAAAUGGUGGUUUAAUGGGUGUCCACUCUCACCCACCGCUUCCUUGAUUGGUGGAGGGUCGUUAGCCGAACGAGUAGGAUAGGACAAUUAAUUCCUCAUUAAAGUAUAAUGAUUAUAUAAAGUAACUACUUUUUUUUAAUUCCCAAUAUUAGUUACUUUAGGAAAAAUGUGAAUUUGGUGCUAAUCCAUGAAAUUGCACAUUGCACCUUAUUGGUCGUUAGUGGAGCGUGUGUGGUUAAUCGGCACACUAAUAUGGGACCAAUGAAGGAUGACAAUGGGUAGCUCGUACAUUAUCAUAGAUCAAUGGAGCGUGUGUGGUUAACCGGCACAUUGAUUAGGUGAUACACAUCCUCAACAGUACCAAGCUAAUUUUCAUGGUUAUUCACACCUUGUUUGUGAUCCUCGGCAUCCCAGUCACAAACUUGAAGGGCAUAAUCAAGAUUAAACAUGCCAUUGAAAAGUUCAAUGAAUCUCAAAAGAUCUAGGAGUUUCAAUUCAUUUAAAACCUAAUUUCCUUUUUUUUGUUUUUCAUGGUGGAAAUUGGUAAAUCGUCAUUUACCUACCUUCAAAUAUUCUGCAACUGGAUUACGGCAUCCCUAUUCCGAGUUGUAGAAUAUUGUGUUGGGUCCUAGCCUUGAUAUUUCAUUUGGGUGUUAUAUUAAGGACUCUUAUCAACUAGCUUGAACUUCUCCCUUUUGUAGAUGUCUAAAUCUAUCAAUCAUGGUCUUCCUGAAUCCUUUGGAAAAAGCUUU